GACACGGAAGAGGUGGAUCGUGCUGGAUACGGUCGCGUACAGCAAGAGCAGAGACCGAAGAUUUGUUUUGAGAAAAAAAAAAAAGAGGACCGAGUCCUCACGUGCCACGCAAGGCAGCCAGAUCGAAUCGGCAAGCAGUAAUUCCGUUGAUACUUACGCGUCCAUCAGGAAGCUUUGGAAGCAACUAGCCAGCAUUGGAGAUUGAGCCAAGAGACACCACGUGAAGGCCAUUUUUUGGUUGGAUUUGCUACCAUGCACGCUCUGUGUACUUGUGCAUCGUGGUAAGAAUCUUAGUUAUUUUUUCACAGCGUCAGGCAUACAAAGAACCAUAGCGUCAACGGAUACUAGGUUUGAGGUGAAGAUGUUCAACGGGACUGGAAACUUUGGGUUAUGGCAGACAAGUGUGAAAAUUUGUUGGCACGACAGUGAUGAUUGAAGGCGUUGCGGGAAGUCAAUUCAGCUAGGAUGGAGUUGUGAUGUGAUGGAUGGAAAUUUGCGGAAGACGAUUUGGGAGCCUUGAAGCGUGUCGUUACAGUCGAACAAAUUCGGCUGGGUCGGACUAGACAGUCUGAUGGAUCGACUUGGAUGUCGGUUGGUACAGAAAACGGUGGUGGGAUCGGCGACGACGAGAUAGGAGCGUAAUGCUGAUGGUGACCGACUUCUGGGGCGUGGAAACACGCGGCACAUGCCCGAGGCUUGUGUGGCUUCGACAAGACUAUGGCGCAGGAUCGAUUCAAGACGGUGCACAUGAGAGCUUGAAGUCGACGGGGCGCGGGGUGGACUGAUCAUCUACCAUGGAGUCAUGUUGAAGGUGGAGCUGGAUUGAGGGGCUGCGAUGUAAUGAUCCAGGGAAUCAAAGCCUAUUCAGCAAGGGGGAAAAGCGAGUGGCACGCAGUUCGAACUGGAGCCCAGUGGUCUGAUGGAAGCGUGAAACUCGUCAUCGGUCGGUGAUGAUCGAUGGUACUAUGCAGUGGGGUUGAGUGGUGUGGUUUCGCGACCCUUGAGACUCGACGGGGACAGCGGAGGUUCGACGCAGUAAUAGCGGCGAGGCGUGCGGUACGCAUGGGACAUGGAGAUGGGCCAGGGCUCUGGUGGUCAUACAUGUGGUGAGACAACUGCGAAUUUGACUCGGGAUGACUACAAGCAAUGGUGAAAUUCCUUCAAGUUUCAGACAGGCUGUCAAGAAAGGAGCGGUGAUGUUGAGUUCAGGUAACUCUUAUGUGUGACAUCUAAUAUGUGAGUUGUUCACUUUCACACGGAUCAGUGAUUAAUGUGUGAUGGCGUUGGACGGAUACUCUGGAAGUUGGGAGCGCAAACUAGAGUAAUAUGGAACUUAAUUUCGUUCGAGUGUUGACUCUGGUCAAGAAAAAAAGGGACUACAAGUUGCAGGUGGAGUCAUAUGAAGUCUUUGGAGUAGCAGUGGUACUCAUGGGAUAAACUCAAAUCCAAUGUACAUGAAAGUUUGACGCAUUGACGAAUUCAAGGUGAUGGAGAAUAUUCGCCAAGGUGGAGUUUGUUAGAGUUGUGUCAAAUAUUGUGUACAGGGUAGGUUACAGUUGGACUCUGAGUAAUAUUGUGUUUAGAUAGGAUAUGGAGUCGUGUCCUAAUAGGACACUUGUAUCCUAGGCCUCUCAUAUAUAGCGGGGGUAAACACACGAUAUAACCUAUAUCAACAUAAUAGCACCGGAACGCAGGGGAAGCCAGCGGCAUGUGCCGGUGUCCAGGGUAACCGGGUGCGGUAUUGUAGCGGUGUCAUGGGGAGGAGCGUCCAUAGUCAGGCCCCGGGGAUGUAGCCAUAUCGGUGAACCUCGUUAACAAAUCUCGGUGUGGUGCUCGUGCGAUUGCUUGGUCCUUGAAUAAUUAACGGUAUGCCUCGUAUUUAUUCUAACAAUACUAGUAUGCGUGCACGCGCAAUGCGCGUCUUUACGUUGCAAAGUGAUUUCGGUGAAAAUAAGUCAUGAAAAUGCCUGGAGAAAUGAUUCAAGACAAAUGACCAUUGUGCAUGUAUGAAAGCAUAAAGAAAAUAAUAGAAAUUAGCAUAAGAAAGCUUGUCACGUUCUUACGACAGUAACUAUCACAUGAAUAUGUAAUUUGCAAAAAAAUUAAAGUCCCAAUUGCGGAAAAUAUAUAAAUGAACCAGGGUAUAUAUGAACUCGCCUUGGAAACACAUUUCUAAAUCCUCAAAAAAAAUUAAAAAAGCUGCACGCGCACAUCUCCAUGUUCUAUCCCUGCACAGAAACUUUCACGGAAAAACAUUUUUUUUGCAUAUGCAAAAAAGACAAAACAACAUGUCGUAAAAUGUUACUUAGAAGCACUGAAAUUUGUCUUUUAUGCGGAGGCAAAAUAAAAAAAUAUUUUUUCGUAAAACUUUGUAUCGCGCAUAUAUAUUGCGAAGAUGUAUGCAUGAAAUUUUAUUUGGUAUUUUUUCACAUUUUAACACACGUUCAAAAUCCAUUUUUUUAAAACAGGUUCAUAUGUAUGUACGUACUUAGGUUUAGGUAGUGCCUCCUCUACCUAUGGCUAUGUUUUACUGUAACUUUCCACCCAAAAUUGCACGUGAGACAGGUUCAUAUGUGCGCUAUGCACUGGUUUGUUUUGUUUACCUUUUAAUUUUUUAUUCUUAUUUUUCACCUUCUGUCAGACUUUUUUUAAGUUACCUCCUGUCAGACUUAGUGGUACAGAUCCCACUUGUGUCUGCAACCACACGUGCCACGUAGCUCUGCGGGCAUCUGUAGUAAAACAAUUUGCACUGCUCUAGGCGACUCGACUAUGGCAUGGUGUGACUUUGUUAGCUCCAAAGAACUGACAUGCAGUGGGGUCGCUACUCCGUGCUAAUACAAACUCCUAGAUGCUUAUAGAGUGACGCAGACAACACUGAUGCUACUGUAGCGGCGAAUCCCUGCAUUAUAAGCCGUCGGAUGGAGCCCAAUGAACGGCCAGGAAUGCAUUUUGAUGCAUGAAAUCAAACUUUCAAAACUGAUACGCUAUAUAGUAUAGUAUAGAUACAUUAUCUGUGUUGACUAGGUGCGUGGUUCCGCUGUCAGCGAGUGACCAAAAAGAAUGUUUUUUUUCGAAAACCCCCUCAACAAAAAAUAUUAUUUUGACAAAAAAAACAUAUGUAUGUGGCAUUUUACUUCUCUAUGCCCAGGGGGUCCCGCCUGAAAAUUUUAACAGAAAAAGAUUCAGGGCAGGUUUUGAACCCGCGUCCACAGGCUACCAAAACAACUGGCCAACCACUUAACCCUGCGAGUCGUCAAGGAAACGAUAACGGCAGCAUAAAUAUUUAGCAAUGACGCUUAUGGAGCUUAAAUGGGCUGGAGAUAUUGCAGCCCAUUUUGCACAAGCUAUACAACAACAACAACAACAACAAAGCCUUUAGUUCCAAACAAAUUGGGGUAGGCUAGAGGUGAAACCCAUAAGAUCUCGCAACCAACUCAUGGCUCUGGCACAUGGAUAGCAAGCUUCCACGCACCCCUGUCCAUAGCUAGCUCUUUGUCGAUACUCCAAUCCUUCAGGUCUCUCUUAACGGACUCCUCCCAUGUCAAAAUCGGUCGACCCCGUCCUCUCUUGACAUUCUCCGCACGCUUUAGCCGUCCGCUAUGCACUGGAGCUUCUGGAGGCCUGCGCUGAAUAUGCCCAAACCAUCUCAAACGAUGUUGGACAAGCUUCUCCUCAAUUGGUGCUACCCCAACUCUAUCUCGUAUAUCAUCAUUCCGGAUUCGAUCCUUCCUCGUGUGGCCACACAUCCAUCUCAACAUACGCAUCUCCGCCACACCUAACUGUUGAACAUGUCGCCUUUUAGUCGGCCAACACUCCGCGCCAUACAACAUUGCGGGUCGAACCGCCGUCCUGUAGAACUUGCCUUUUAGCUUUUGUGGCACUCUCUUGUCACAGAGAAUGUCAGAAGCUUGGCGCCACUUCAUCCAUCCGGCUUUGUUUCGAUGGUUCACAUCUUCAUCAAUACCCCCAUCCUCCUGCAACAUUGACCCCAAAUACCGAAAGGUGUCCUUCCGAGGUACCACCUGGCCAUCAAGGCUAACCUCCUCCUCCUCACAGCUAGUAGUACUGAAACCGCACAUCAUGUACUUGAUUUUAGUUCUACUAAGCCUAAACCCUUUCGAUUCCAAGGUUUGUCUCCAUAACUCUAACUUCUCAUUUUGCACAAGCUAUAUUUAUAAGAUAUUUUAAAACGGAAGUAAUAAAAAUUAUGUUCCAAUAUUUGUGUAUUAUCAAUAUUAUGUAAAUGAAAACAAUGAAAUAUAUACCCAUGUGUGUGUAAAUUAUUUAGUUAAUACGGAUAUUAAAAUGUAUAUUAGAUACAAUGUAUAAUGAAUACAAAGAAAGUAUAAACUCAUGGCUUAUAUUUAAUUUUAAAAUGAUGAAUACAAACAUUCACUUAAUAUCUAUAAUUAUUCACAUGUCUAUAUUUUUUACUCAUGACCUAUAUUUGAAAGCAGUAUAUAUUUUUAUAAUAGAAUAAUAUUUUAAAAUGUAAUUUUAAAAGAAAUUGUAUCAUUUUAAUUUUGUUAUACAUUUUUAUAAUUCAUAAAUAUUUUCAAUAUACCACUGUGUAUUGAAAUAAUACACGAAGAUAAGGUAUUUCGUUUGUAUGCUUGGUAGUUUUUAAAAUAAAUGUACCAACGUUUUGAAAAUAAUACAUGAACGUUUUUAUUUAAUAUACAUUUUAAAUUUCUGUAUUAACUAAAUAUUUUAUAUAGUACAUGGGUGUAUAUUUAAAUGUUUUUAUUUACUAGUCAUGGUUUGAUUGUAUAAAGUUUAUAGCACAUUUAAACAUAAUUUUGAUAACUUACAUUUUAUAAAUAUAUCUUUAAAAAACAGCGCGUGCAAAAUGGGCCGAAAUAUCUACAGCCCGUUUGAACUUUAGAUGCGUACCUGCUAAAUUCAUGUUGCUAAAACAAUUGGUGAAUACAUAUAGGAUAGUUAUCCAAUUAGAACGUCGUGACAUGGACAGCGUACUUGUUGUACUGGUUUACUCUCUAUACCUGGUUGCGUGUUCGAGUCUUGAUCUUGCCUUUUUCCUGUUUAUUUUGACCAGCGGGUACUUUUUUACAAAAAGAUAUAUUCUGAGGGGGGUUUCGGAAAAAAUCAGACCACCGGCCUUCUCCCUCAGGUCCAGUGGCUGACAGCCUGACCCACACGCCUAGUCAGCGCAGAAUCCGUAUAUCAACCCGAUUCGCACUGUAUUUGCACCUCCGAGUCAAGUUUUUGCACCACUUCAAUGUACAACACAACUUCUAGCACCAAAGUGGCCGUUUACGCCAAGUUCUAGCAUCACCAACGUAAUUGCCUCCUUUUAUUUUCUCAUUUCCUUUGACUCGCUGGCCAUGAAGAUUUGUUUGGACUUAUGUUGAGCGAGAUAGCUUGCUUGGGCGGUUGGGCCCUUGAUAGCUUGCUUGGACUUAUGUUAACCUCUUUGACUUGUGUUGACCGUCCAUGUGGAUGGCUAGGACAACCAGUAUAAUUUUAGCUAUUCUCCCUACAUGAGUGCUUUGUUGCUCACAACAAUUUUGCCAAAAUAUUCUCUCUUUGUCACUCUCAUCUAUACAUUUAGCUUGUUUUUCUAUCUUGUGCAUGUUGUUUGCCUAUUUCGUGGGCCCAUUUGUGGCAAUGUGAUUAUUUGUAAGAAAGUGAGCCUAGUUCAUGGGUGUAUAGUGAUCGCAUAGUCUAAUAAUCUAGACAGUAAUCACCGUGGACCUGCAUUUAUGUUCUUAUUUAUUACAUUAUGAGGGUCAUUCUAAAGAUUUCUAUCAGAAAUGUUGUAUAUUAAUAGGAAAUUUGAACACAUUUCCUUUUUUCCGAUUACUCGCAUAUUGUUUUGUUAGACUUGUAUCUUUUAUCACAACGGAAACGUUUAUUGCAUAGUACUUUAUCACAACUAAAACCAUUUCUUUUAUUGCAUCCUGGAACAUUGUUUUGCUUCCUUGUCAUGGUACAACCUAUGCAUGUAUCACACUGGAACUGAGCCGCCAAUCUUUCUUGCCAAGUGGCAUGUAUGUUUGUCACCAAGUUUUCAUACAUUUUUCCUAUAUUUUACAGUUUCAUUGUUGCCUCUAGGUACCAGCCAUGAACAUUGCUAGUUAGUGCCAACUGAAGUAUAAUCUAUUCAUCAUUGUCAUAUUCACGUUGGUGUACGCAUGUUGACUUCAUGGAAAUUAGACGGUUUGUAUUAUUUCAAUUUUAUUUUACAUUUAAUUUUAGGUAUCAUUCACGCAUGUAUCACACUGGAAUCAAUCUGCCCAUCUUUUGUUCCCAGUGUCAUGCAUUUGUGAUUGAUCCUUGGGAGGGUAACUCAUGAUCACCACUUCGCUCUUCUGAAGUUCAUCUUGAGACCACACAUAGCCUCAAAGUAUACGGGGGAAUUUGAGAUAGACAAUGACAGGUUUUGUUCCUUCUACCAUGAUCAAGUUGUUAUCAUGAACUUGAGGUGAUACCCUUCUUGAGACAAUUUUCCCAACCGCACCAAAGAUGUAACUAUAUAUCUUGGCCUUCUCCAAGAUAACUGGACAACAUCAACUACAAGGUUAACGAUAAGGGUGCCUUCGUCUCCAUGAUAGCUCAAAUAGCCUCCUCGGUUAAGAAUGGGAAGGUGAGAUUCGCAUUCUCGGUGGCUAAGACCUUGCCCCCCUCAUGCCAAUAGUCGUUGACCACUGAUCAAGGUUCUAAAAUGUCCUUGGACUUCUCCAGGAGGAAAUCGUCCAAACUAGAUGUUGCACUUUCUUUCACCUUCUCCCAUUCACAAUGGCAUGAAAGUAGGUGGUGUUGGCAUCACCCUUCAGAAGACAAUUCUGCCGGCUCUGCAGCUGCUAGAAUAUCUCCUCACCCUUGUAGAUUUCCAUAAGGGGGACCUCAAGGCACACUGCUGGAGCACUCUUCAUUAGGAAGACCAUAGGAGUCUAGGGGUUGAUCAAGGGCCCGGAUCUGACCAGGAAUGUCAUCCUUAUAGUGACACGGCAACCCCAACUUUUGCCCCGCAACAUCACAUAAAUUGACGUGAGACUUUAGAGCAUUGAUGCCAUAUAUCCACUACGCUAAAAAAAUACAUUGACAAUACACCUUCAUGAUAGAAGGUGCAGGUUUUUGUCAUCGAUUUGCGCUCAUGACAAAUCUAUGUUUGAGUCAAGAUGUCAUACUAUGGCCCAGUUCUUUUGCUAGAAUCCCUAGAUUCUCCCAGAAUCCGGCCCCUACCCAGCUUCUCCCAAAAUCUUUCAGCCUCAUUUGUUUUACAAUCCUAUCUAAUUAGACCCUAACUAGAUAGGAUUGUAAAACAAAUGAGGCUCAAAGAUUCUGAGAGAAGCUGGGUAGGGGUCGGAUUCUGCGAGAAUCCCCAGAUUCUGGCAAAAGAACUGGGCCUAUGUCGGUCAUAGAUCACUUCAAUGACAAAACUCGGUUUUUGUUAUUGAAGUGUGCUUUUCCAUGAGAAAAAUGUCUUGUCAUGGAAGUGUUUUUGUCCCGGGUGACCGGUUGACAUGGGAGAAGACUGGCACGUGGCAGCCGCUGUUAAUGGCGUCGUGAUUGUGUCGUUAGUCAACUUGUCAUCCUAUCCAUCAAAGUGUUGGUCCAACAGAGGCCUAUUAGAAUUUACUGGGUCAUCUCAUGUCGUUUGGCCCAUUUGUUCGGCCCAUUUUGGGACCAUAUGUAUUUGGGCAAAUCAAGGUCUACUAUGGUUGGCCUAAAUUGUUAAGGGUCAUACUGAUUAUAUACAAUUUUGGGACCAGACAAUGUUGGAGAACAUGGUACAAAACAAAAAAAAAUACCAUACUAACACACAAGAACAUUAUGAAGAUGAAUGGACAAGAUGGAUCUCACCAACACAAAGAGAGAUGAAGAUGUGCAAAGAUGGAUCCGAACUGGGUUUCUACGCUGCCGCUGAUCACAGCUAAUAAUGAAAUUGCACGACCACAACAACAACCUUAGGCUUGCGCGGAGACAAAGACGUGAAAAUUCCAGUCACAUGUUUCAUCCGCAAACAUCAGCAGUAAAAAGAAUUGUUAAGAAAAUCGAUAGUCACAUGUUUCAUCCGCAAACAACAUCAGCAGUAAAAAGCAUUGUUAAGGAAAUCGGUAACUGAUAGUUUCUCGGCCGGCUUGGGAGUAGCGAUUAAUCAGUGAAUCAGCCUAUUAUCUAGAUUGGAGUAGCGAUUAAUCAGUGAAUCAGCCUAUUAUCUAGAUUAAUCGGUAGAUUAAAUAGGAACCUACCAACAUUUCCAGGUAUUAUAUCAUACUCUCCAUUAUGUAAUAUACCAAAUAUGUAAUAAUUUGGUCGAACCCUAGCUAUUGAGUGAGAGGGGGAUUGGAGGGGUUACGGGCCAAAACUUUGGGUUGUGUUUGCCCCUAAGUUAAUGGGCCAACAACGAUUAAUCGAUCUCACGGUCUCACAGGCCAUCCUACGAGUAGCAAUUAACUGGCCCGUUAACUGAUUAAUAGGACGAAUUCUUGAACAGCGGUAAAAAGUACUCCCUCCAUUCCUCUUUAUAGUGCGCCUUUGGCUGGGGCACUUAUACCAAUGCAUGAGCUGGCGUCUUUUGUUUGGACAAGAAUUACCACUCCCCCUGCUUGGUCUGUCACGCACAUGGGUACCUGCUGCUGCACUGCCGUGAACCAGUUGAGGGUUAUUUCGUCCAAAACAGCUUCACAGCCCUUAUGCGCACUACAUAUCGGAAUCGAAGCCAAAAAACUAUACGCACUAGAAUCUGGAACGGAGGGAGUACUAAAUCCCAGCUACAGGGCCAUUGGCAGGGCAUAAGCAGCAAUGCCACUGUUGCCUAAACAGCGUUGGGCCAAUUCUGAAAUCAAAUUGGCUAAACAUACCUAGAUACUGAACCAGCCCACUGAUUACGUCGGCACUUGUAAAGUAAUCCUAUCACAUCCCAAGAGAACAGCAAAACUCACCUACAUCUACAAUUUGUAAACCAAUAGACAUAUGGCACGGUAGACCCAACCAAUAUUACCACCAAAGGUAGGCAAUGGUGAAUGCUGAUCACACACAAAACUGAUGGUUAAACCACAAGGCAGGACUAUGCUCCACGCUAGCAAUCAUCGAACUGCCACCGUCUACAGCCAAGGUAACUGACUACAUGUACUCACAGUUUCAGACACAUCUAUGUAUGAACCAACAAAUAUAUCUAGAACAUACCAACCACACGAUCGCUUGGAAUGAACUGAAUUCUAAUUGCAAGUGACAAAGAUCACACACCUCAAAGAAUCAACACAUAAGAGCAAUAGCAAAAUAUUCAUCAACAUGUAAGACCUGCAUAGCUAUUGGCUAAUCUAGAAACACCUGCAAUAACAUGUUAUAAGCUCAAGAACACAUGUAUCAACAGGAUACAUCUCUCCGUGAUCACACCACCUUAUUAAGAUCAACAAAGCAUAGAAUACGGACAUGGAAUAGAUUAAAAGCAUUUAGACUGAUAGCAUACGGACACCAAAAUUUAAGCACGCAUCGCGUUACAGCAGUAGGCGAUGAAAUAUUCAGGAAACAUAAGACUCAAGGUUUCAGUUUAAACGACAAACGGGACACAUCUAAGUGAGUUCGACUCUCGAUAGGUAGAGUAAAAGAGCAGAGCAAUCGCAAGCAACCUCUAAGCCUUCUGGUUGUAGACGUAGGUGAGGCCGCACUUGCCGCAGUAGUGGCGGUCGAAGUGGUUGGCCAUGAAGGUGCCCGCGCCGCAGUCGGCGUUGGGGCACUCCUUCCUGAGCCUGGUCACCUUGCCGGUGGCGUCGUCGACCUUGUAGAACUGGAGGACGGCGAGCUUCACCUUCUUGUGCUUGUGCUUUUGCUUCUUGGGCUUGGUGUAGGUCUUCUUCUUGCGCUUCUUGGCGCCGCCGCGGAGGCGGAGCACCAGGUGGAGGGUGGACUCCUUCUGGAUGUUGUAGUCGGCGAGGGUGCGGCCGUCCUCGAGCUGCUUACCGGCGAAGAUGAGGCGCUGCUGGUCCGGCGGGAUGCCCUCCUUGUCCUGGAUCUUGGCCUUGACGUUGUCGAUGGUGUCCGAGGACUCCACCUCCAGCGUGAUGGUCUUGCCCGUCAGGGUCUUCACGAAGAUCUGCAUCUUGGCGGCGGUGGGAGGUCGCCUCCGCGCGCUGCGGCGGCGACGGCGGCGGCGGGGUAGGGUUUGGGUUGGGGUGCGGAGUGGAGGCUAGGGUUUGGGAGGCCUGGAGCAGUCUGGCUUUAUAAGGAGAAUGGGCGUCUGGGCUCCCUCCGUGGACGGUACUUUUGGGCUGGGUGUGGAUUGACUAGGCUUGGGUGGCCCAUUUCAUGUGGGCUUUGGCUCCAAGAUUUCCACUGUCAAUCAGUUCACUAAAAAAAAGUUCAUUUUAUUGUCCUCAAAGAAAAAUAUCUCCAUUCUCAAAACAAGAAAGAAGAAAAAUAUCUCCGUACAGACGCCAAGAAGUUCACUAAAGGGGGAUUCAUUUCUACUGUAUUUCCUAAAGGAAAAAAAAGGUAUCAUUUCUCGGACAGGAGUUGAUUUCUCGCAAUUGUGCUCCAACGCUGACCCGUAAACUGAACACUGCAUUUGUCCGAGGAAUGCAUGGGGGGCUACCGUGGACAUGGGUGGGGGAGCCAGUCAUCCAAUGCUAGCCACUAUAUGUCCACCAAUAAAAGGCAAUUUGAAAUUCAAAUAUGUUUGAUCCGUAGUGUGUGUCGGGUCACAUCAUCGGACGAUCACUACCAAAAAAAGACUAAGGAUGCUUAAUUUUUACAUGCCCGAUCACGAAAGAAUAAUAGUAUGGCAGUCCAUGCAUUUUGUCUUGCCGGAUCGUCAAUCCGAGCCUCUACGUUCAAUUUGUCGUUGCCGCCAUGUAGGCCGCCUCCGCUUCGGCAUCCGCCUACUUCUCUACCGCCUCGAUCUCCUCCUGCUCCGUCCUCUCCAUAUCAUUCUUCUGCCGCUGCAACGUCUUGAAGCGGGCGGCUUGCACAAUCAUUCUUGCAUCGUCAUUCAAUUAUGUCACCUUGAAGGUGAGCAUCUUCGUGUCCUCCAAAGCGGCCGCGGUCUCCACCUUCUUCUGCUGGAGUUUGGCCUUCUUCUAUUCAAUCAUCGCCCUCUUCCGUUCAAGCUUGAAUUUCUUCUCGAUCGCCUUCAUUGACAAGUCAAAUUUCUCUGCUUUUUUCCACCUUAAUGUCAGAGCGCUUGAUGUAUGCCUCCUCCUUGUUCAUCAAGAUGUCUUCAAACCUAUUUAUCAUCUUGGCCGUCACACUUUCUCGCUUUGCCUUCUCCUGUUGGGGAACGUAGUAGAAUUUUAAAAUUUUCUACGCAUCACCAAGAUCAAUCUAUGGAGUUAUCUAGCAACGAGGGAGAGAGGAGUGCAUCUACAUAACCUUGUAGAUCACGAGCGGAAGCAUUCAAGAGAACGGGGUUGAUGGAGUCGUACUCGACGUGAUUCAAAUCACCGAUGACCUAGUGCCGAACAGACGGCACCUCCGCGUUCAACACACAUACGGUUGGGAGACGUCUCCUCCUUCUUGAUCCAGCAAGGGGGAAGGAGAGGUUGAUGAAGAUCCGGCUGCACGACGACGUGGUGGUGGAAGCAACGGUGAUCUCGGCAGGGCUUCGCCAAGCGCUGGGAGACGGAGGAGUGUCACGGGAGGGAGAGGAAGAGGCCAGGGGCUUGAGUGCGCAGCCCUCCCCCCCCCCCCCCCUAUAUAUAGGGUGCCUAGGGGGGGCGGCCCUAGGAGAUCCAAUCUCCUAGGGGGGCGACGGCCAAGGGGGUGCCUUGCCCCCCAAGGCAAGGGCGGCGCCCCCACCCCUAGGGUUUCUAACCCUAGGCGCAUGGGGAGGCCCAAGUGGGGGGGCGCACCAGCCCACUAGGGGCUGGUUCCCCUCCCACUUCAGCCCAUGGGGCCCUCCGGGAUAGGUGGCCCCACCCGGUGGACCCCCGGGACCCUUCCGGUGGUCCCGGUACAAUACCGGUGACCCCGAAACCUUCCCGAUGACCGAAAUGGACUUCCUAUAUAUAAAUCUUUACCUCUGGACCAUUCCGGAACUCCUCGUGACGUCCGGGAUCUCAUCCGGGACUCCGAACAACUUUUCGGGUUAUCGUGUGCUAAUAUCUCUACAACCCUAGCGUCAUCGAACCUUAAGUGUGUAGACCCUACGGGUUCGGGAGACAUGCAGACAUGACCGAGAAGCCUCUCCGGUCAAUAACCAACAGCGGGAUCUGGAUACCCAUGUUGGCUCCCACAAGCUCCACGAUGAUCUCAUCGGAUGAACCACGAUGUCGAGGAUUCAAUCAAUCCGUAUACAAUUCCCUUUGUCAAUCGGUACGUUACUUGCCCGAGACUCGAUCGUCGGUAUCCCAAUACCUAGUUCAGUCUCGUUACCGGCAAGUCACUUUACUCGUACCGUAAUGCAUGAUCCCGUGAUCAAUCACUUGAUCACUUUGAGCUCAUUAUGAUGAUGCAUUACCGAGUGGGCCCAGAGAUACCUCUCCGUCAUACGGAGUGACAAAUCCCAAUCUCGAUUCGUGCCAACCCAACAGACACUUUCGGAGAUACCUGUAAUGUACCUUUAUAGUCACCCAGUUACGUUGUGACGUUUGGCACACCCAAGGCACUCCUACGGUAUCCGGGAGUUGCACAAUCUCAUGGUCUAAGGAAAUGAUACUUGACAUUCAGAAAAGCUACGGCAAACGAACUACACGAUCUUUGAGCUAAGCUUAGGAUUGGGUCUUGUCCAUCACAUCAUUCUCCUAAUGAUGUGAUCCCGUUAUCAAUGACAUCUAAUGUCCAUAGUCAGGAAACCAUGACUAUCCUUUGAUCAACGGGCUAGUCAACUAGAGGCUCACUAGGGGCGUGUUGUGGUCUAUGUAUUCACAUAUGUAUUACGAUUUCCGGAUAACACAAUUAUAGCAUGAACAAUAGACAAUUAUCAUGAACAAAGAAAUAUAAUAAUAACCAUUUUAUUAUUGCCUCUAGGGCAUAUUUCCAACAGUCUCCCACUUGCACUAGAGUCAAUAUUCUAGUUACAUUGUGAUGAAUCGAACACCCAUGCAGUUCUAGUGUUGAUCAUGUUUUGCUCUAGGGAGUGGUUUAGUCAACGGAUCGGCUACAUUCAGGUCCGUAUGUACUUUACAAAUCUCUAUGUCUCCAUUUUGAACACUUUCACGAAUGGAGUUGAAGCGACGCUUGAUAUGCCUGGUCUUCCUGUAAAACCUGGGCUCCUUGGCAAGGGCAAUAGCUCCAGUGUUGUCACAGAAGAGAGUCAUCGGGACCGACGCAUUGGGUAUGACUCCUAGGUCCGUAAUGAACUCCUUCACCCAGACUGCUUCAUGUGCUGCCUCCGAGGCUGCCAUGUACUCCGCUUCACAUGUAGAUCCCGCCACAACGCUUUGCUUGCAACUGCACCAGCUUACUGCCCCACCAUUCAAAAUAUACACGUAUCCGGUUUGUGACUUAGAGUCAUCCAGAUCUGUGUCGAAGCUAGCAUCGACGUAACCCUUUACGACGAGCUCUUCAUCACCUCCAUAAAUGAGAAACAUUUCCUUAGUCCUUUUUAGGUACUUCAGGAUAUUCUUGACCGCUGUCCAGUGUUCCAUGCCGGGAUUACUUUGGUACCUUCCUACCAAACUUACGGCAAGGUUUACAUCAGGUCUGGUACACAGCAUAGCAUACAUGAUAGACCCUAUGGCCGAGGCAUAGGGGAUGACACUCAUCUUUUCUCUAUCUUCUGCUGUGGUCGGGCAUUGAGCCGUGCUCAAUCUCGUACCUUGCAAUACAGGAAAGAACCCCUUCUUUGACUGAUUCAUUUUGAACUUCUUCAAUAUCUUGUCAAGGUACGUACUCUGUGAAAGACCAAUGAGGCGUCUCGAUAUAUCUCUAUAGAUCUUGAUGCCUAAUAUAUAAGCAGCUUCUCCAAGGUCCUUCAUUGAAAAACACUUGUUCAAGUAGGCCUUUAUGCUUUCCAAGAAUUCUAUAUCAUUUCCCAUCAACAGUAUGUCAUCCACAUACAAUAUGAGAAAUGCUACAGAGCUCCCACUCACUUUCUUGUAAAUGCAGGCUUCUCCAUAAGUCUGCAUAAACCCAAACGCUUUGAUCAUCUCAUCAAAGCGAAUGUUCCAACUCCGAGAUGCUUGCACCAGCCCAUAAAUCGAGCGUUGGAGCUUGCACACCUUGUCAGCAUUCUUAGGAUCGACAAAACCUUCUGGCUGCAUCAUAUACAAUUCUUCCUUAAGGAAACCAUUAAGGAAUGCCGUUUUGACGUCCAUUUGCCAUAUCUCAUAAUCAUAGAAUGCGGCAAUUGCUAACAUGAUUCGGACGGACUUCAGCUUCGCUACGGGUGAGAAAGUCUCAUCGUAGUCAACCCCUUGAACUUGCCGAUAACCCUUAGCGACAAGCCGAGCUUUAUAGAUGGUCACAUUACCAUCCGCGUCUGUCUUCUUCUUAAAGAUCCAUUUAUUUUCUAUGACUCGCCGAUCAACGGGCAAGUCAGUCAAAGUCCAUACUUCGUUUUCAUACAUGGAUCCUAUCUCGGAUUUCAUGGCUUCCAGCCAUUUGUCGGAAUCCGGGCCCGCCAUCGCUUCUUCAUAGUUCGAAGGUUCACCGUUGUCUAACAACAUGAUUUCCAAGACAGGGUUGCCGUACCACUCUGGUGCGGAACGUGUCCUUGUGGACCUACGAAGUUCAGUAGCAACUUGAUCUGAAGUUUCAUGAUCAUCAUCAUCAACUUCCUCUCUAGUCGGUGCAGGCACCUCAGGAACAUUUUCUUGAGAUGCGCCACUUACCGGUUCAAGAGGUAAUACUUCAUCAAGUUCUACCUUCCUCCCACUUAUUUCUUUCGAGAGAAACUCUUUCCCUGGAAAGGACCCAUUCUUGGCAACAAAGAUCUUGCCUUCGGAUCUGAGGUAGAAGGUAUACCCAAUAGUUUCUUUAGGGUAUCCUAUGAAGACGCAUUUUUCCGACUUGGGUUCGAGCUUUUCAGGUUGAAGUUUCUUGACAUAAGCAUCGCAUCCCCAAACUUUUAGAAACGACAGUUUAGGUUUCUUCCCAAACCAUAAUUCAUACGGUGUCGUCUCAACGGAUUUCGAUGGAGCCCUAUUUAAAGUGAAUGCGGCAGUCUGUAAAGCAUAGCCCCAAAAUGAUAGCGGUAAAUCGGUAAGAGACAUCAUAGAUCGCACCAUAUCUAAUAGAGUGCGAUUAUGACGUACAGACACACCAUUACGCUGAGGUGUUCCAGGCGGCAUUAGUUGUGAAACUAUUCCACAUUUUCUUAAGUGUGUGCCAAAUUCAUGACUCAAGUAUUCUCCCCCAUGAUCUGAUCGCAAGAACUUGAUUUUCCUGUCACGUUGAUUCUCAACCUCACUCUGAAAUUCCUUGAACUUUUCAAAGGUCUCAGACUUGUGUUUCACUAAGUAGAAUUACCCAUAUCUAGUCAAGUCAUCGGUGAGGGUGAGAACAUAACGAUAGCCACCGCGAGCCUCAACACUCAUUGGACCGCAUACAUCAGUAUGUAUGAUUUCCAAUAAGUUGGUUGCUCGCUCCAUUGUUCCUGAGAAUGGAGUCUUGGUCAUUUUACCCAUGAGGCAUGGUUCGCACGUGUCAAAUGAUUCGUAAUCAAGAGACUCUAAAAGUCCAUCUGCAUGGAGCUUCUUCAUGUGUUUGACACCUAUGUGACCAAGGCGGCAGUGCCACAAGUAUGUGGGACUAUCAUUAUCAACCUUACAUCUUUUGGUAUUCACACUAUGAAUACGUGUAGCAUUACGCUCGAGAUCCAUUAAGAAUAAACCAUUCACCAUCGGAGCAUGACCAUAAAACAUAUCUCUCAUAUAAAUAGAACAACCAUUAUUCUCGGAUUUAAAUGAGUAGCCAUCUCGAAUUAAACGAGAUCCUGAUACAAUGUUCAUGCUCAAAGCUGGCACUAAAUAACAAUUAUUGAGGUUUAAAACUAAUCCCGUAGGUAAAUGUAGAGGUAGCGUGCCGACGGCGAUCACAUCGACCUUGGAACCAUUCCCGACGCGCAUCGUCACCUCGUCCUUCGCCAGUCUCCGCUUAUUCCGCAGCUCCUGCUUUGAGUUACAAAUGUGAGCAACCGCACCGGUAUCAAAUACCCAGGAGCUACUACGAGUACUGGUAAGGUACACAUCAAUUACAUGUAUAUCACAUAUACCUUUCGUGAUGCCGGCCUUCUUGUCCGCUAAGUAUCUGGGGCAGUUCCGCUUCCAGUGACCACUUCCCUUGCAAUAAAAAUACUCAGUCUCGGGCUUGGGUCCAUUCUUUGGCUUCUUCCCGGCAGCUUGCUUACCGGGCGCGGCAACUCCCUUGCCGUCCUUCUUGAAGUUCUUCUUACCCUUGCCUUUCUUGAACUUAGUGGUUUUAUUCACCAUCAACACUUGAUGUUCCUUGUUGACUCCUAUCUCUGCUGAUUUCAGCAUUGCAAAUACUUCAGGAAUGGUCUUUUCCAUCCCCUGCAUAUUGAAGUUCAUCACAAAGCUCUUGUAGCUCGGUGGAAGCGACUGAAGGAUUCUGUCAAUGACCGCGUCAUCCGGGAGAUUAACUCCCAGCUGAGUCAAGCGGUUAUGCAACCCAGACAUUUUAAGUAUGUGCUCGCUGACAGAACUAUUUUCCUCCAUCUUACAGCUGAAGAACUUGUCGGAGACUUCAUAUCUCUCGACCCGGGCAUGAGCUUGAAAAACCAUUUUCAGCUCUUCGAACAUCUCAUAUGCUCCGUGUCUCUCAAAACGCUUUUGGAGCCCCGGCUCUAAGCUGUAAAGCAUGCCGCACUAAACGAGGGAGUAAUCAUUAGCACGUGUCUGCCAAGCGUUCAUAACGUCUUGGUUCUAUGGGACGGGUGCGUCACCUAGCGGUGCUUCUAGGACAUAAUCUUUCUUGGCAGCUAUGAGGAUGAUCCUCAGGUUCCGGACCCAGUCCGUAUAGUUGCUGCCAUCGUCUUUCAGCUUGGUUUUCUCUAGGAACGCGUUGAAGUUGAGGACAACAUGGGCCAUUUGAUCUACAAGACAUAUUGUAAAGAUUUUAGACUAAGUUCAUGAUAAUUAAGUUCAUCUAAUCAAAUUAUUAAAUGAACUCCCACUCAGAUAGACAUCCCUCCAGUCAUCUAAGUAUAACAUGAUCCGAGUUAACUAGGCCGUGGCCGAUCAUCACGUGAGACGGACUAGUCAACAUCGGUGAACAUCUUCAUGUUGAUCGUAUCUUCUAUACGACUCAUGCUCGACCUUUCGGUCUUCUGUGUUCCGAGGCCAUUUCUGUACAUGCUAGGCUCGUCAAGUCAACCUAAGUGUAUUGCGUGUGUAAAUCUGUCUUACACCCGUUGUAUUCGAACGUUAGAAUCUAUCACACCCGAUCAUCACGUGGUGCUUCGAAACAACGAACCUUUGCAACGGUGCACAGUUAGGGGGAACACUUUCUUGAAAUUAUUACGAGGGAUCAUCUUAUUUAAGCUACCGUCAUUCUAAGCAAAUAAGAUGUAAAACAUGAUAAACAUCACAUGCAAUCAAAUAGUGACAUGAUAUGGCCAAUAUCAUUUGCUCCUUUGAUCUCCAUCUUCGGGGCUCCAUGAUCAUCGUUGUCACCGGCAUGACACCAUGAUCUCCAUCAUCAUGAUCUCCAUCAUCGUGUCUUCUUGAAGUUGUCUCGUCAUCUAUUACUUCUACUACUAUGGCUAACGCUUUAGCAAUAAAGUAAAGUAAUUACAUGACGUUUAUGUUGACACGCAGGUCAUAAAUAAAUUAAGACAACUCCUAUGGCUCCUGCCGGUUGUCAUACUCAUCGACAUGCAAGUCGUGAUUCCUAUUACAAGAACAUGAUCAAUCUCAUACAUCACAUAUAUCAUUCAUCAUUCAUCACAACCUUUGGCCAUAUCACAUCACAAAACACUUGCUGCAAAAACAAGUUAGACGUCCUCUAAUUGUUAUUGCAAGUUUUUACGUGGCUGCUAUAGGUUUCUAGCAAGAACGUUUCUUACCUACGCCGAAACCACAAUGUGAAUUGCCAAUUUCUAUUUACCCUUCAUAAGGACCCUGUUCAUCGAAUCCGAUCCGACUAAAGUGGGAGAGGCAGACACCCGUCGGCCACCUUAUGCAACUAGUGCAUGUCAGUCGGUGGAAUCGGUCUCACGUAAGCGUACGUGUAAGGUUGGUCCAGGCCGCUUCAUCCCACGAUGUCGCCGAAUCAAGAUAAGACUAGUGACGGCAAGCAAAUUGACAAUAUCGACGCCCACAACUACUUUGUGUUCUACUCGUGCAUAGUAACUACGCAUAGACCUAGCUCAUGAUGCCACUGUUGGGGAACGUAGCAGAAUUUUAAAAUUUUCUACGCAUCACCAAGAUCAAUCUAUGGAGUCAUCUAGCAAUGAGGGAGAGAGGAGUCCAUCUACAUACCCUUGUAGAUCACGAGCAGAAGCGUUCAAGAGAACGGGGUUGAUGGAGUCGUACUGGAUGUGAUUCAAAUCACCGAUGACCUAGUGCCGAACGGACGGCACCUCCGCGUUCAACACACGCACGGUUGGGAGACAUCUCCUCCUUCUUGAUCCAGCAAGGGGGAGGAGAGGAUGAAGAUCCAGCAGCACGACGACGUGGUGGUGGAAGCAACAGUGAUCUCGGUAGGGCUUCGCCAAGCGCUGGGAGACGGAGGAGUGUCACGGGAGGGAGAGGGAGAGGCCAGGGGCUUGGGUGCGGAGCCCUCCCUCCCCCCCACUAUAUAUAGGGUGCCUAGGGGGGGCGCCGACCCUAGGAGAUCCAAUCUCCUAGGGGGGGCGACGGCCAAGGGGGUGCCUUGCCCCCCAAGGCAAGGGUGGCGCCCCCACCCCUAGGGUUUCUAACCUUGGCGCAGGGGGUGUUGGAAAUAUGCCCUAGAGGCAAUAAUAAAAGUGUUAUUAUUAUAUUUCUUUGUUCAUAAUAAUAGUCUUUUAGUCAUGCUAUAACUGUAUUAUCCGGAAAUCGUAAUACACGUGUGAAUACAUAGACCACAAUAUGUCCCUAGUGAGCCUCUAGUUGACUAGCUCGUUGUGAUCAACAGAUAGUCAUGGUUUCCUGGCUAUGGACAUUGGAUGUCGUUGAUAACGGGAUCACAUCAUUAGGAGAAUGAUGUGAUGGACAAGACCCAAUCCUAAGCCUAGCACAAAGAUCGUGUAGUUCGUAUGCUAAAGCUUUUCUAAUGUCAAGUAUCUUUUCCUUAGACCAUGAGAUUGUGCAACUCCCGGAUACCGUAGGAAUGCUUUGGGUGUACCAAACGUCACAACGUAACUGGGUGGCUAUAAAGGUGCAUUACAGGUAUCUCCGAAAGUGUCUGUUGGGUUGGCACGAAUCGAGACUGGGAUUUGUCACUCCGUGUAAACGGAGAGGUAUCUCUGGGCCCACUCGGUAGGACAUCAUCAUAAUGUACACAAUGUGACCAAGGGGUUGAUCACGGGAUGAUGUGUUGCGGAACGAGUAAAGAGACUUGCCAGUAACGAGAUUGAACAAGGUAUCGGUAUACCGACCAUUGAAUCUCGGGCAGGUAAAAUACCGCUAGACAAAGGGAAUUGUAUACGGGAUCGAUUGAGUCCUUGACAUAGUGGUUCAUCCGAUGAGAUCAUCGUGGAACAUGUGGGAGCCAACAUGGGUAUCCAGAUCCCGCUGUUGGUUAUUGACCGGAGAACGUCUCGGUCAUGUCUACAUGUCUCCCGAACCCGUAUGGUUUACACACUUAAGGUUCGAUGACGCUAGGGUUAUAAAGGAAGCUUGUAUGUGAUUACUGAAUGUUGUUCGGAGUCCCGGAUGAGAUCCCGGACGUCACGAGGAGUUCCGGAAUGGUCCGGAGGUAAAGAUUUAUAUAUGGGAAGUCCUGUUUUGGUUACCGGAAAAGUUUCGGGCGAUAUCGGUAAUGUACCGGGACCACCGGGAGGGUCCCGGGGUCCACCAAGUGGGGCCACCGGCCCCGGAGGCUUGCAUGGGCCUAGAGUGGAAAGGGACCAGCCCCAGAGUGGGCUGGUGCGCCUCCCACCCUUGCCCAAGGCGCAACUAGGAGGGGAGAGGGCAAACCCUAGGGCAGAUGGGCCCUAAGGCCCACCCCAGGCGCGCCUCCCCUCUCUCCCCCUCUUGGCCGCCCCCCCAAGUCCCAUCUAGGGCUGGCCGCACCCCUUGGGGUGGGAAACCCUAAAGGGGGCGCAGCCCCCCCUUCCCCCUAUAUAUAGUUGAGGUUUGGGGCUGCUAAAGAAAUGAGUUCUCUCCCUCUUGGUGCAGCCCUACCUCUCUCCCUACUCCUCCUCUCCCAUGGUGCUUGGCGAAGCCCUGCGGGAUUGCCAUGCUCCUCCACCACCACCACGCUGUUGUGCUGCUGUUGGAUGGAGUCUUCCUCAACCUCUCCCUCUCUCCUUGCUGGAUCAAGGCGUGGGAGACGUCACCGGGCUGUACGUGUGUUGAACGCGGAGGUGCCGUCCGUUCGGCACUAGGAUCUCCGGUAAUCUGGAUCACGACGAGUACGACUCCUUCAACCCCGUUCUCUUGAACGCUUCCGCUUAGCGAUCUACAAGGGUAUGCAGAUGCACUCUCCUUCCCCUCGUUGUUGGUUUCUCCAUAGAUAGAUCUUGGUGACACGUAGGAAAAUUUUGAAUUUCUGCUACGUUACCAACAGUGGCAUCAUGAGCUAGGUCUAUUGCGUAGAUUCUUUGCACGAGUAGAACACAAAUUAGUUGUGGGCGUUGAUGUUGUUCAAUAUGCUUACCGUUACUAGUCCAAUCUUGUUUCGACGGUAUUGUGGGAUGAAGCGGCCUGGACCGACCUUACACGUACUCUUACGUGAGACAGGUUCCACCGAUUGACAUGCACUUGGUGCAUAAGGUGGCUAGCGGGUGCCAGUCUCUCCCACUUUAGUCGGAACGGAUUCGAUGAAAAGGGUCCUUAUGAAGGGUAAAUAGCAAUUGGCAUAUCACGUUGUGGUCUUGCGUAGGUAAGAAACGUUCUUGCUAGAAACCCAUAGCAGCCACGUAAAACAUGCAAACAACAAUUAGAGGACGUCUAACUUGUUUUUGCAUGGUAUGCUAUGUGAUGUGAUAUGGCCAAGAAGAAUGUGAUGAAUGAUAUGUGAUGUAUGAGAUUGAUCAUGUUCUUGUAAUAGGAUUCACGACUUGCAUGUCGAUGAGUAUGACAACCGGCAGGAGCCAUAGGAGUUGUCUUAAUUUAUCGUAUGACCUGCGUGUCAUUGAAGAAUGCCAUGUAAACUACUUUACUUUAUUGCUAAACGCGUUAGUCAUAGAAGUAGAAGUAGUCGUUGGCGUGACAACUUCAUGAAGACACGAUGAUGGAGAUCAUGAUGAUGGAGAGCAUGGUGUCAUGCCAGUGACGAUGAUGAUCAUGGAGCCCCGAAGAUGGAGAUCAAAAGGAGCAAAAUGAUAUUGGCCAUAUCAUGUCACUAUUUGAUUGCAUGUGAUGUUUAUCAUGUUUAUGCAUCUUGUUUACUUAGAACGACGGUAGUAAAUAAGAUGAUCCCUUACAACAAUUUCAAGAAGUGUUCUCCCCUAACUGUGCACCGUUGCUACAGUUCGUCGCUUCUAAGCACCACGUGAUGAUCGGGUGUGAUGGAUUCUUACGUUCACAUACAACGGGUGUAAGACAGAUUUACACACGCGAAAACACUUAGGGUUAACUUGACGAGCCUAGCAUGUACAGACAUGGCCUCGGAACACGGAGGCCGAAAGGUCGAGCAUGAGUCGUAUAGUAGAUACGAUCAACAUGAAGAUGUUCACCGAUGAUGACUAGUCCGUCUCACGUGAUGAUCGGACACGGCCUAGUUGACUCGGAUCAUGUAAUCACUUAGAUGACCAGAGGGAUGUCUAUCUGAGUGGGAGUUCAUAAGAUGAACUUAAUUAUCCUGAACAUAGUCAAAAUAUCUUUGCAAAUUAUGUCGUAAGCUCGCACUUUAGUUCCACUUUUUAGAUAUGUUCCUAGAGAAAAUAUAGUUGAAAGUUGAUAGUAGCAAUUAUGCGGACAGUAGAAAGCUUAUGUCCUUAAUGCACUGCUCAGUGUGCUGAACCCCAAACGUCGUUUGUGGAUGUUUCGAACAUCGAACAUACACGUUUUGAUAACUACGUGAUAGUUCAGUUAAAUGGUUUAAGUAGAGGCACCAAAGACGUUUUCGAAAUGUCGCGGGACAUAUGAGAUGUUUCAAGGGCUGAAAUUGGGAUUUCAGGCUCGUGCCCACGAAGAGGUAUGAGACCUCCGACGAUUUUCUUAGCCUGCAAACUAAGGGAGAAAAGCUCAAUCGUUGAGCUUGUGCUCAGAUUGUCUGAGUGCAACAAUCACUUGAAUCGAGAGGGAGUUGAUCUUCCAGAUGAGAUAGUGAUGUUUCCCCAAAGUCAUUGCCACCAAGCUGCUAGAGCUUCGUGAUGAACUAUAACAUAUCAGGGAUAGAUAUGAUGAUCCUUGAAAUAUUCGCGAUGUUUGACACCGCGAAAGUAGAAAUCAAGAAGGAGCAUCAAUUGUUGAUGGUUGGUGAAACCACUAGUUUCAAGAAGGGCAAGGGAACAAAGGGAUACUUCAUGAAACGGCAAUUCAGCUGCUGCUCUAGUGAAGAAACCCAAGGUUGAACCCAAACCCGAGACUAAGUGCUUCUGUAAUAAAGGGAACAGCCACUGGAGCAGAAUUACCCUAGAUACUUGGUAGAUGAGAAGGCAGGCAAGGUCGAUAGAAGUAUAUUGGAUAUACAUUGUGUUGAUGUGUACUUUACUAGUACUCCUAGUAGCACCAGGGUAUUAGAUACCGGUUCGGUUGCUGAGUGUUAGUAACUUGAAAUAAAAGCUACGGAAUAAACAGAGACUAGCUAAAGGUGAGCUGACGAUAUGUGUUGGAAGUAUUUCCAAUGUUGAUAUGAUCAAGCAUCGCACGCUCCCUCUACCAUCGAGAUUGGUGUUUGCGUUGAGCAUAGACAUGAUUGGAUUAUGACUAUCGCAAUAUGGUUAUUCAUUUAAAGAGAAUAAUGGUUACUCUAUUUAUUUGAAUAAUACCUUCAAUGGUCUUGCACCUAAAAUGAAUGGUUCAUUGAAAUCUCGAUCGUAGUGAUACACAUGUUCAUGCCAAAAGAUAGUAAUGAUAAUACCACCUACUUGUGGCACUGCCAUGUAAGUCAUAAUGGUAUAAAACGCAUGAAGAAGCUCCAUAUUGAUGGAUCUUUGGACUCACUCGUUUUUGAAAAGUUUGAGACAUGCGAACCAUGUCUAUUGGUGUAUACGCAUGAAGAAACUCCAUGCAGAUGGACCGUUUGAACUCACUUGAUUUUGAAUCACUUGAGACAUGCAAAUCAUACCACAUGGGCAAGAUGACUGAAAGCCUCGUUUUAGUAAGACGGAACAAGAUAGCAACUUGUUGGAAGUAACACAUUUUGAUGUGUCCAGUCCAAUGAGUGCUGAGGCAUGCAGUGAAUAUCGUUAUGUUCUUACUUCACAGAUGAUUCGAGUAGAUGUUGAGAAUAUUUACUUGAUGAAACACAAGUCUGAAUUAUUGAAUGGUUCAAGUAAUUUCAGAGUGAAGUAGAAGAUCAUUGUGACAAGAGGAUAAAAUGUCUGUGAUAUGAUCAUAGAGAUGAAUAUCUGAGUUACGAGUUUUGGCACACAAUUAAGACAUUGUGGAAAUUGUUUUACAAUUAAUACCGCCUGGAACACCACAGUGUGAUGGUGUGUCCGAACAUCAUAGUUGCACCCUAUUGGAUAUGGUGGGUACCAUGAUGUCUCUUAUCGAAUUACCACUAUCGUUUAUGGGUUAGGCAUUAGAGAAAACCACAUUCACUUUAAAUAGGGCACCACGUAAUUCCGUCGAGAUGACACCAUAUGAACUAUGGUUUAGAGAAACCUAAGCUGUCAUUUCUUAAAGGUUUGGGGCUGUGACGCUUAUGUGAAAAAAGUUUCAGGUUGAUAAGCUCGAACCCAAAGCGGAUAAAAUGCAUCUUCAUAGGACACCCAAAACAGUUGGGUAUACCUCCUAAUUCAGAUCCGAAAGCAAUAGGGAUUGUUUCUUGAAUCGGGUCCUUUCUCGAGGAAAAGUUUGUCUCGGAAAGUUGAGUGGGAGGAUGGUGGAGACUUGAUAUGGUUAUUGAACCGUCACUACAACUAGUGUGUAGCAGGGCACAGGAAGUUGUUCCUGUGGCACCUACACCAAUUGAAGUAGAAGCUUAUGAUAGUGAUCAUGAAACUUCGGAUCAAGUCACUACCGUACCUCGUAGGGUGACAAGGAUGCGUACUGCUUCAGAGUGGUACAGUAAUCUUGUCUUGAAGGUCAUGUUGCUAGACAACAAUGAACCUAUGAGCUAUGGAGAAGCGAUGGUGGGCCCAAAUUCUGACAAAUGGUUAGAAGCCAUGAAAUCCGAGAUAGGAUCCAUGUAUCAGAACAAAGCAUGGACUUUGGUCGACUUGCCCAAUGAUCGGCAAGCCAUUGAGAUAAAUGGACCUUUAAGAAGAAGACGGACGUGGAUGGUAAUGUCACCAUCUAUGAAGCUCGACUUGUGGCGAAAAGUUUUUCACAAGUUCAAGGAGUUGACUACGAUGAGAUUUUCUCAUCCGUAGCGAUGGUUAAGUCCGUUGGAAUCAUGUUAGCAUUAGCUGCAUUUAUGAAAUCUAGCAGGUGGAUGUCAAAACGAGUUUCCUUACCAAUUUUCGUAAGGAAAGGUUGUAUGUGAUACAAUCAGAAAGGUUUUGUCGAUCCUAAGGAUGCUAAAAGGUAUGCUAGCUCCAGCGAUCCUUCCAUGGACUGGAGUAAGCAUCUCGGAGUUGGAAUGUGCACUUUGAUGAGAUGAUCAAAGAUUUUGGGUUUAUACAAAGUUUAUGAGAAACUUGUAUUUCCAAAGAAGUGAGUGGGAGCACUACAGAAUUUCUGAUGAGUAUAUGUUGUUGACAUAUUGAUGAUCAGAAAUGAUGUAGAAUUUCUGUAAAGCAUAUAUGGUUGUUUGAAAAGUGUUUUUCAAUGGAAAGCCUGGAUUAAGCUACUUGAGCAUUGAGCAUCAAGAUCUAUAAGGAUAGAUCAAAAUGCUUAAUGGUACUUUCAAAUGAGCACAUACCUUGACAUGAUCUUGAAGGUGUUCAAGAUGGACCAGUCAAAGAAGGAGUUCUUGCCUGAGUUGUAAGGUACGAAGUUAAGACUUAAAGCUCGACCUCGGCAGAAAAGAGAGAAAGGACGAAGGUCGUCCCCUAUGCUUUAGACGUAGGCUCUACAGUAUGCUAUGCUGUGUACCGCACCUGAAGUGUGCCUUGCCAUGAGUCAGUCAAGGGGUACAAGAGUGAUCCAAGAAUAGAUCACAGUACAGCGGUCAAAGUUAUCCUUAGUAACUAGUGGACUAAGGAAUUUUCUCGGUUAUGGAGGUGAUAAAGAGUUCGACGUAAAGAGUUACGACGAUGCAAGCUUAACACCUAUCCGGAUAGCUCUGAGUAGAGAUACUGGAUACGUAUAAUGGAGCAACAAUUUAGAAUAGCUCCAAGUAGAACAGUUAUUUGGAAUAGCUCCAAAUAGAGCGUGGUAGCUGCAUCUAGGAGAUGACAUAAAGAUUUGUAAAGCACACACGGAUCUGAAAGGUUCAGACCCAUUGACUAAAACCUCUCUCACAAGCAACAUGAUCAAACCCAGAACUCAUUGAGUGUUAAUCACAUAGUAAUGUGAACUAGAUUAUUGACUCUAGUAAACUCUUUGGAUGUUGGUCACAUGGUGAUGUGACCUGUCAGUGUUAAUCACAUGGUGAUGUGAACUAGAUUAUUGACUCUAGUGCAAGUGGGAGACUGUUGGAAAUAUGCCCUAGAGGCAAUAAUAAAAGUGUUAUUAUUAUAUUUCUUUGUUCAUGAUAAUAGUCUUUUAUUCAUGCUAUAACUGUAUUAUCCGGAAAUCGUAAUACACGUGUGAAUACAUAGACCACAAUAUGUCCCUAGUGAGCCUCUAGUUGACUAGCUCGUUGUGAUCAAUAGAUAGUCAUCGUUUCCUGGCUAUGGACAUUGGAUGUCGUUGAUAACGGGAUCACAUCAUUAGGAGAAUGAUGUGAUGGACAAGACCCAAUCCUAAGCCUAGCACAAAGAUCGUGUAGUUCGUAUGCUAAAGCUUUUCUAAUGUCAAGUAUAUUUUCCUUAGACCAUGAGAUUGUGCAAGUCCCGGAUACCGUAGGAAUGCUUUGGGUGUACCAAACGUCACAACGUAACUGGGUGGCUAUAAAGGUGCAUUACAGGUAUCUCCGAAAGUGUCUGUUGGGUUGGCACGAAUCGAGACUGGGAUUUGUCACUCCGUGUAAACGGAGAGGUAUCUCUGGGCCCACUCGGUAGGACAUCAUCAUAAUGUGCACAAUGUGACCAAGGGGUUGAUCACGGGAUGAUGUGUUGCGGAACGAGUAAAGAGACUUGCCAGUAACGAGAUUGAACAAGGUAUCGGUAUACCGACGAUCGAAUCUCGGGCAGGUAAAAUACAAGGUAUCGGAAUUGUAUACGGGAUCGAUUGAGUCCUUGACAUCGUGGUUCAUCCGAUGAGAUCAUCGUGGAACAUGUGGGAGCCAACAUGGGUAUCCAGAUCCCGCUGUUGGUUAUUGACCGGAGAACGUCUCGGUCAUGUCUACAUGUCUCCCGAACCUGUAGGGUCUACACACUUAAGGUUCGAUGACGCUAGGGUUAUAAAGGAAGCUUGUAUGUGGUUACCGAAUGUUGUUCAGAGUCCCGGAUGAGAUCCCGAAUGUCACGAGGAGUUCCGGAAUGGUCCGGAGGUAAAGAUUUAUAUAUGGGAAGUCCUGUUUUGGUUACCGGAAAAGUUUCGGGCGAUAUCGGUAAUGUACCGGGACCACCGGGAGGGUCCCGGGGGUCCACCAAGUGGGGCCACCGGCCCCGGAGGCUUGCAUGGGCCUAGAGUGGAAAGGGACCAGCCCCAGAGUGGGCUGGUGCGCCUCCCACCCUUGCCCAAGGCGCAACUAGGAGGGGAGAGGGCAAACCCUAGGGCAGAUGGGCCCUAAGGCCCACCCCAGGCGCGCCUCCCCUCUCUCCCCCUCUUGGCCGCCCCCCCAAGUCCCAUCUAGGGCUGGCCGCACCCCUUGGGGUGGGAAACCCUAAAGGGGGCGCAGCCCCCCUUCCCCCUAUAUAUAGUUGAGGUUUGGGGCUGCUAAAGAAAUGAGUUCUCUCCCUCUUGGUGCAGCCCUACCUCUCUCCCUACUCCUCCUCUCCCAUGGUGCUUGGCGAAGCCCUGCGGGAUUGCCACGCUCCUCCUCCACCACCACGCCGUUGUGCUGCUGUUGGAUGGAGUCUUCCUCAACCUCUCCCUCUCUCCUUGCUGGAUCAAGGCGUGGGAGACGUCACCGGGCUGUACGUGUGUUGAACGCGGAGGUGCCGUCCGUUCGGCACUAGGAUCUCUGGUGAUCUGGAUCACGACGAGUACGACUCCUUCAACCCCGUUCUCUUGAACGCUUCCGCUUAGCGAUCUACAAGGGUAUGCAGAUGCACUCUCCUUCCCCUCGUUGCUGGUUUCUCCAUAGAUAGAUCUUGGUGACACGUAGGAAAAUUUUGAAUUUCUGCUACGUUACCAACAGGGGGAGGCCGAAGGGGGUGCACCAGCCCACUAGGGGCUGGUUCCCCUCCCAUUUCAUCCCAUGGGGCCCUCCGGGAUAGGUGGCCCCACCCGGUGGACCCCCGGGACCCUUCCGGUGGUCCCGGUACAAUACCGGUGACCCCGAAACCUUCCCGAUGGCUGAAACUGGACUUCCUAUAUAUAAAUCUUUACCUGCGGACCAUUCGAGAACUCCUUGUGACGUCCGGGAUCUCAUCCGGGACUCCGAACAACUUUCGGGUUACCGUGUGCUAAUAUCUCUACAACCCUAGCGUCAUCGAACCUUAAGUGUGUAGACCCUACGGGUUCGGGAGACAUGCAGACAUGACCGAGAAGCCUCUCCGGUCAAUAACCAACAGCGGGAUCUGGAUACCCAUGUUGGCUCCCACAAGCUCCACGAUGAUCUCAUCGAAUGAACCACGAUGUCGAGGAUUCAAUCAAUCCAUAUACAAUUCCCUUUGUCAAUCGGUACAUUACUUGCCCGAGACUCGAUCGUCGGUAUCCCAAUACCUUGUUCAGUCUCGUUACCGGCAAGUCACUUUACUCGUACCGUAAUGCAUGAUCCCGUGAUCAAUCACUUGAUCACUUUGAGCUCAUUAUGAUGAUGCAUUAUCGAGUGGGCCCAGAGAUACCUCUCCGUCAUACGGAGUGACAAAUCCCAGUCUCGAUUCGUGCCAACCCAACAGAUACUUUCGGAGAUACCUGUAAUGUACUUUUAUAGUCACCCAGUUACGUUGUGACGUUUGGCACACCCAAGGCACUCCUACGGUAUCCGGGAGUUGCACAAUCUCAUGGUCUAAGGAAAUGAUACUUGACAUUCAGAAAAGCUACAGCAAACGAACUACACGAUCUUUGAGCUAAGCUUAGGAUUGGGUCUUGUCCAUCACAUCAUUCUCCUAAUGAUGUGAUCCCGUUAUCAAUGACAUCUAAUGUCCAUAGUCAGGAAACCAUGACUAUCCUUUGAUCAACGAGCUAGUCAACUAGAGGCUCACUAGGGACGUGUUGUGGUCUAUGUAUUCACACAUGUAUUACGAUUUCCGGAUAACACAAUUAUAGCAUGAACAAUAGACAAUUAUCAUGAACAAAGAAAUAUAAUAAUAACCAUUUUAUUAUUGCCUCUAGGGCAUAUUUCCAACAUCUCCUCCUCCCAUUUCUUUCUCUGGAACCCUCUUAUAACCUUCAUAGGUGGUUCAUUUGUUGGGUUGGUUGGGUCAUCAGUUUCUUCCUCGGUGCGUUGGGCGACUGAAAGUGCAAUGGCACUUAAGCUAUAUUUUGGUGUGAUGACAAUGUGGUUAGUGUUGGGAACGUAGCACAAUUUUAAAAUUUUCUACACAUCACCAAGAUCAAUCUAUGGAGUCAUCUAGCAACGAGGGAGAGGGGAGUGCAUCUACAUACCCUUGUAGAUCGCGCGCGGAAGCGUUCAAGAGAACGGGGUUGAUGGAGUCAUACUCGCCGUGAUCCAAAUCACCGAUGACCUAGCGCCGAACGGACGGCACCUCCGCGUUCAACACACGUACGGUUGGGAAGACGUCUUCUCCAACUUGAUCCAGCAAGGGGGGAGGAGAGGUUGAUGGAGAUCCAGCAGCACGACGGCGUGGUGGUGGAAGCAACGACGAUCUCGGCAGGGCUUCGCCAAGCUUAGCGAGAGGAAGAGGUGUCACGGGAGGGAGAGGGAGGCGCCAGGGGCUAGGGUGCGGCUGCCCUCCCUCCCCCCACUAUAUAUAGGACCCCUAGGGGGGCGCCGGCCCUAGGAGAUGGGAUCUCCAAGGGGGCGGCGGCCAAGGGGGGUGGCUUGCCCCCCAAGCCAAGUGGGCGCCCCCCACCCCUAGGGUUUCCAACCCUAGGCGCGGGGGAGGCCCAAGGGGGCGCACCAGCCCACCAGGGGCUGGUUCCCUUCCCACUUCAGCCCAUGGGGCCCUCUGGGAUAGGUGGCCCCACCCGGUGGACCCCUGGGACCCUUCCGGUGGUCCCGGUAAAAUACCGAUUAGCCCCGAAACUUUCCAGAUGGCCGAAACUUGACUUACUAUAUAUAAAUCUUCACCUCCGGACCAUUCUGGAACUCCUCGUGACGUCUGGGAUCUCAUCCGGGACUCCGAACAACUUUCGGGUUACCAUAUACUAAUAUCUCAACAGCCCUAGCGUCAUCGAACCUUAAGUGUGUAGACCCUACGGGUUCGGGAGACACGCAGACAUGACCGAGACGACUCUCCGGUCAAUAACCAACAGCGGGAUCUGGAUACCCAUGUUGGCUCCCACAUGCUCCUCGAGGAUCUCAUCGGAUGAACCAUGAUGUCGAGGAUUCAAUCAAUCCUGUAUACAAUUCCCUUUGUCGAUCGGUACGUUACUUGCCCGAGACUCGAUCGUCGGUAUCCCAAUACCUCGUUCAAUCUCGUUACCGGCAAGUCACUUUACUCGUACCGUAAUGCAUGAUCCCGUGAUCAACCACUUGGUCACAUUGAGCUCAUUAUGAUGAUGCAUUGCCGAGUGGGCCCAGAGAUACCUCUCCGUCAUACAGAGUGACAAAUCCCAGUCUCGAUUCGUGCCAACCCAACAGACACUUUUGGAGAUACCCGUAGUGCACCUUUAUAGUCACCCAGUUACGUUGUGACUUUGGCACACCCAAAGCACUCCUACGGUAUCUGGGAGUUGCACAAUCUCAUGGUCUAAGGAGAUGAUACUUGACAUUCGGAAAAGCUAUAGCAAACGAACUACACGAUCUUUGAGCUAUGCUUAGGAUUGGGUCUUGUCCAUCACAUCAUUCUCCUAAUGAUGUGAUCUCGUUAUCAAUGACAUCUAAUGUCCAUAGUCAGGGAACCAUGACUAUCUUUUGAUCAACAAGCUAGUUAACUAGAGGCUUACUAGGGACGUGAUGUGAUCUAUGUAUUCACACGUGUAUUACGAUUUCCGGAUAACACAAUUAUAGCAUGAACAAUAGACAAUUAUCAUGAACAAGGAAAUAUAAUGAUAACCAUUUUAUUAUUGCCUCUAGGGCAUAUUUCCAAUAGUCUCCCACUUGCACUAGAGUCAAUAAUCUAGUUACAUUGUGAUGAAUCGAACACCCAUAGAGUUCUGGUGUUGAUCAUGUUUUGCUCUAGUUACAUUGUGAUGAAUCGAACACCCAUAGAGUUCCGUAUGUACUUUACAAAUAUCUAUGUCUCCAUUUUGAACACUUUCACGAAUGGAGUUGAAGCGAUGCUUGAUAUGCCUGGUCUUCCUGUGAAACCUGGGCUCCUUGGCAAGGGCAAUAGCUCCAGUGUUGUCACAGAAGAGAGUCAUCGGGCCCGACGCAUUGGGUAUGACUCCUAGGUCCGUAAUGAACUCCUUCACCCAGACUGCUUCCUGUGCUACCUCCGAGGCUGCCAUGUACUCUGCUUCACAUGUAGAUCCUGCCACAACGCUUUGCUUGCAACUGCACCAGCUUACUGCCCCACCAUUCAAAAUACACACGUAUCCGGUUUGUGACUUAGAGUCAUCCAGAUCUGUGUCGAAGCUAGCAUCGACGUAACCCUUUACGACGAGCUCUUCGUCACCUCCAUAAACGAGAAACAUUUCCUUAGUCCUUUUUAGGUACUUCAGGAUAUUCUUGACCGCCUGCCAGUGUUCCAUGCCGGGAUUACUUUGGUACCUUCCUACCAAACUUACGGCAAGGUUCACAUCAGGUCUGGUACACAGCAUAGCAUACAUGAUAGACCCUAUGGCCGAGGCAUAGGGGACGACACUCAUCUUUUCUCUAUCUUCUGCCGUGGUCGGGCAUUGAGUCGUGCUCAAUCUCGUACCUUGCAAUACAGGCAAGAACCCCUUCUUUGACUGAUCCAUAUUGAACUUCUUCAAUAUCUUGUCAAGGUACGUACUCUGUGAAAGAUCAAUGAAGCGUCUCGAUCUAUCUCUAUAGAUCUUGAUGCCUAAUAUGUAAGCAGCUUCUCCAAGAUCCUUCAUUGAAAAACACUUGUUCAAGUAGGCCUUUAUGCUUUCCAAGAAUUCUAUAUCAUUUCCCAUCAAUAGUAUGUCAUCCACAUACAAUACGAGAAAUGCUACAGAGCUCCUACUCACUUUCUUAUAAAUGCAGGCUUCUCCAUAAGUCUGCGUAAACCCAAACACUUUGAUCAUCUCAUCAAAACUAAUGUUCCAACUCCAAGAUGCUUGCACCAGCCCAUAGAUCGAGCGUUGGAGCUUGCACACCUUGUCAGCAUUCUUAGGAUCGACAAAACCUUCCGGCUGCAUCAUAUACAAUUCUUCCUUAAGGAAACCAUUAAGGAAUGCCGUUUUGACGUCCAUUUGCCAUAUCUCAUAAUCAUAGAAUGCGGCAAUUGCUAACAUGAUUCGGGCGGACUUCAGCUUCGCUACGGGUGAGAAAGUCUCAUCGUAGUCAACCCCUUGAACUUGUCGAUAACCCUUAGCGACAAGCCGAGCUUUAUAGAUGGUUACAUUACCAUCCGCGUCUGUCUUAUUCUUAAAGAUCCAUUUAUUUUCUAUGGCUCGCCGAUCAUCAGGCAAGUCAGUCAAAGUCCAUACUUCGUUUUCAUACAUGGAUCCUAUCUCGGAUUUCAUGGAUUCCAGCCAUUUGUCAGAAUCUGGGCCCGCCAUCGCUUCUUCAUAAUUCGAAGGUUCACCAUUGUCUAACAACAUGAUUUUCAAGACAGGGUUGCCAUACCACUCUGGUGCGGAACGUGUCCUUGUGGACCUAUGAAGUUCAGUAGCAACUUGAUCUGAAGUUUCAUGAUCAUCAUCAUUAACUUCCUCUCUAGUCGGUGCAGGCACCUCAGGAACAAUUUCCUGAGUUGUGCCACUCUCCGGUUCAAGAGGCAAUACUUCAUCAAGUUCUACUUUCCUCCCACUUACUUCUUUCAAGAGAAACUCUUUCUCUAGAAAGGAUCCAUUCUUGGCAACAAAGAUCUUGCCUUCGGAUCUGAGGUUGAAGGUAUACCCAAUAGUUUCUUUAGGGUAUCCUAUGAAGACGCAUUUUUUUGAUUUGGGUUCGUGCUUUUCAGGUUAAAGUUUCUUGACAUAAGCAUCGCAUCCCCAAACUUUUAGAAAUGACAGCUUAGGUUUCUUCCCAAACCAUAAUUCAUACGGUGUCGUCUCAACGGAUUUCGACGGAGCCCUAUUUAAAGUGAAUGCGGCAGUCUCUAAAGCAUAGCCCCAAAAUGACAGUGGUAGAUCAGUAAGAGACAUCAUAGAUCGCACCAUAUCCAAUAGAGUGCGAUUAUGACAUUCGGACACACCAUUACGCUGAGGUGUUCCAGGCGGCGUGAGUUGUGAAACUAUUCCACAUUUCCUUAAGUGCGUGCCAAAUUCAUGACUCAAGUAUUCUCCCCCACGAUCUGAUCGCAAGAACUUGAUUUUCCUAUCACGUUGAUUCUCAACCUCACUCUGAAAUUCCUUGAACUUUUCAAAGGUCUCAGACUUGUGUUUCAUUAAGUAGACAUAUCCAUAUCUACUCAAGUCAUCAGUGAGGGUGAGAACAUAACGAUAGCCACCGCGAGCCUCAACGCUCAUUGGACCGCACACAUUAGUAUGUAUGAUUUCCAAUAAGUUGGUUGCUUGCUCCAUUGUUCCUGAGAACGGAGUCUUGGUCAUUUUACCCAUGAGGCAUGGUUCGCACGUGUCAAAUGAUUUGUAAUCAAGAGACUCCAAAAGUCCAUCUGCAUGGAGCUUCUUCAUGCGUUCGACACCUAUGUGACCAAGGCGGCAGUGCCACAAGUAUGUGGGACUAUCAUUAUCAACCUUACAUCUUUUGGUAUUCACACUAUGAAUAUGUGUAACAUUACGCUCGAGAUUCAUUAAGAAUAAACCAUUCACCAGCGGGGCAUGACCAUAAAACAUAUCUCUCAUAUAAAUAGAACAACCAUUAUUCUCGGAUUUAAAUGAGUAGCCAUCUCGAAUUAAACGAGAUCCUGAUACAAUGUUCAUGCUCAAAGCUAGCACUAAAUAACAAUUAUUGAGGUUUAAAACUAAUCCCGUAGGUAAAUGUAGAGAUAGUGUGCCGAUGGCGAUCACAUCGACCUUGGAACCAUUCCCGACGCGCAUCGUCACCUCGUCCUUCGCCAGUCUCCUCUUAUUCCGCAGCUCCUGCUUUGAGUUACAAAUGUGAGCAACCGCACCAAUAUCAAAUACCCAGGAGCUACUACGAGUACUGGUAAGGUACACAUCAAUUACAUGUAUAUCACAUAUACCUUUAGUGUUGCCAUCCUUCUUGUCCGCGAAGUAUUUGGGGCAGUUCCGCUUCCAGUGACCACUUCCCUUGCAAUAAAAACACUCAGUCUCGGCUUGGGUCCAUUCUUUGGCUUCUUCCCGGUAGCUUGCUUACCGGGCGCGGCAACCCCCUUGCUGUCCUUCUUGAAGUUCUUCUUACCCCUGCCUUUCUUAAACUUAGUGGUUUUAUUCACCAUCAACACUUGAUGUUCCUUUUUGAUCUCCACCUCUGCUGAUUUCAGCAUUGAAUAUACUUCAGGAAAGGUCUUUUCCAUCCCCUGCAUAUUGAAGUUCAUCACAAAGCUCUUGUAGCUCGGUGGAAGCGACUGAAGGAUUCUGUCAAUGACCGCAUCGUCCGGGAGAUUAACUCCCAGCUGAGUCAAGUGGUUAUGCAACCCAAACAUUUUGAGUAUGUGCUCACUGACAGAACUAUUUUCCUCCAUCUUACAACUGAAGAACUUGUCGAAGACUUCAUAUCUCUCGACCCGGGCAUGAGCUUGGAAAACCAUUUUCAGCUCUUCGAACAUCUCAUAUGCUCCGUGUUGCUCAAAACGCUUUUGUAGCCCCGGUUCUAAGUUGUAAAGCAUGCCGCACUGAACGAGGGAGUAAUCAUCAGCACGUGACUGCCAAGCGUUCAUAACGUCUUGGUUCUCUGGGAUGGGUGCGUCACCUAGCGGUGCUUCUAGGACAUAAUCUUUCUUGACAGCUAUGAGGAUGAUCCUCAGGUUCCAGACCCAGUCCGUAUAGUUGCUGCUAUCAUCUUUCAGCUUGGUUUUCUUUAGGAACGCGUUGAAGUUGAGGACAACGUGGGCCAUUUGAUCUACAAGACAUAUUGUAAAGAUUUUAGACUAAGUUCAUGAUAAUUAAGUUCAUCUAAUCAAAUUAUUCAAUGAACUCCUACUCAGAUAGACAUCCCUCUAGUCAUCUAAGUGAAACAUGAUCCGAGUCAACUAGGCUGCGCCCGAUCAUCACGUGAGACGGACUAGUCAACAUCGGUGAACAUCUUCAUGUUGAUCGUAUCUUCUAUACGACUCAUGCUCGACCUUUAGGUCUUCCGUGUUCCGAGGCCAUGUCUGUACAUGCUAGGCUCGUCAAGUCAACCUAAGUGUAUUGCAUGUGUAAAUCUGGCUUACACCCGUUGUAUUCGAAUGUUAGAAUCUAUCACACCCGAUCAUCACGUGGUGCUUUGAAACAACGAACCUUCGCAACGGUGCACAGUUAGGGGGAACACUUUCUUGAAAUUAUUACGAGGGGUCAUCUUAUUUAAGCUACCGUCGUUCUAAGCAAAUAAGAUGUAAAACAUGAUAAACAUCACAUGUAAUCAAAUAGUGACAUGAUAUGGCCAAUAUCAUUUGCUCCUUUUGAUCUCCAUCUUCGGGGCUCCAUGAUCAUCGUUGUCACCGGCAUGACACCAUGAUCUCCAUUAUCAUGAUCUUUAUCAUCGUGUCUUCUUGAAGUUGUCUCGUCAUCUAUUACUUCUACUACUAUGGCUAACGCUUUAGCAAUAAAGUAAAGUAAUUACAUGAUGUUUAUGUUGACACGCAGGUCAUAAAUAAAUUAAGACAACUCCUAUGGCUCCUGCCGGUUGUCAUACUCAUCGACAUGCAAGUCGUGAUUCCUAUUACAAGAACAUGAUCAAUCUCAUACAUCACAUAUAUCAUUCAUCACAUCCUUUUGGCCAUAUCACAUCACACGGCACAUGCUGCAAAAACAAGUUAGACGUCCUCUAAUUGUUGUUGCAAGUUUUUACGUGGCUGCUAUAGGUUCUAGCAAGAACGUUUCUUACCUACACCAAAACCACAACAUGAUAUGAUAAUUUCUAUUUACCCUUCAUAAGGACCCUUUUCAUCGAAUCCGAUCCGACUAAAGUGGGAGAGACAGACACCCGCUAGCCACCUUAUGCAACUAGUGCAUGUCAGUCGGUGGAACCAGUCUCACGUAAGCGUACGUGUAAGGUCGGUCUAGGGCGCUUCAUCCCACGAUGCCGCCGAAUUAAGAUAAGACUAGUAACGACAAGUAAAUUGACAAUAUCGACGCCCACAACUGCUUUGUGUUCUACUCGUGCAUAGAAACUACGCAUAGACCUAGCUCAUGAUGCCACUGUUGGGAACGUAGCAGAAUUUUAAAAUUUUCUAUGCAUCACCAAGAUCAAUCUAUGGAGUUAUCUAGCAAUGAGGGAGAGGGGAGUGCAUCUACAUACCCUUGUAGAUCGCGCGCGGAAGCGUUCAAGAGAACGGGGUUGAUAGAGUCGUACUCGUCGUGAUCCAAAUCGCCGAUGACCUAGCGCUGAACGGACAGCACCUCUGCGUUCAACACACGUACGGUUGGGAAGACGUCUCCUCCAACUUGAUCCAGCAAGGGGGAAGGAGAGGUUGAUGGAGAUCCAGCAGCACGAUGGCGUGGUGGUGGAAGCAAUGGCAAUCUCGGCAGGGCUUCACCAAGCUUAGCGAGAGGGAGAGGUGUCACGGGAGGGAGAGGGAGGCGCCAGGGGCUAGGGUGCGGCUGCCCUCCCUCCCCCCACUAUAUAUAGGACCCCUAGGGGGGCGCCGGCCCUAGGAGAUGGGAUAUCCAAGGGGGGCGGCGGCCAAGGGGGGUGGCUUGCCCCCCAAGCCAAGUGGGGCGCCCCCACCCCUAGGGUUUCCAACCCUAGGCGCAGGGGGAGGCCCAAGGGGGUGCACCAGCCCACCAGGGGCUAGUUCCCUUCCCACUUCAGCCCAUGGGGCCCUCCGGGAUAGGUGGCCCCACCCGGUGGACCUCCGGGACCCUUCCGGUGGUCCCGGUAUAAUACCGAUUACCCCCGAAACUUUCCCGAUGGCCGAAACUUGACUUCCUAAAUAUAAAUCUCCACCUACGGACCAUUCUGGAACUCCUCGUGACGUCUGGGAUCUCAUCCGGGACUCCGAACAACUUUCGGGUUACCGUAUACUAAUAUCUCAACAACCCUAGCGUCACCGAACCUUAAGUGUGUAGACCCUACGGGUUCGGGAGACACACAGACAUGACCGAGACGACUCUCCGGUCAAUAACCAACAGCGGGAUCUGGAUACCCAUGUUGGCUCCCACAUGCUCCUCGAUGAUCUCAUCGGAUGAACCACGAUGUCGAGGAUUCAAUCAAUCCCGUAUACAAUUCCCUUUGUCAAUCAGUACGUUACUUGCCCGAGACUCGAUCGUCGGUAUCCCAAUACCUCGUUCAAUCUCGUUACCGGCAAGUCACUUUACUCGUACCGUAAUGCAUGAUCCCGUCAUCAACCACUUGGUCACAUUGAGCUCAUUAUGAUGAUGCAUUACCGAGUGGGCCCAGAGAUACCUCUCCGUCAUACGGAGUGACAAAUCCCAGUCUCGAUUCGUGCCAACCCAACAGACACUUUCGGAGAUACCCAUAGUCCACCUUUAUAGUCACCUAGUUACGUUGUGACUUUGGCACACCCAAAGCACUCCUACGGUAUCCGAGAGUUGCACAAUCUCAUGGUCUAAGGAGAUGAUACUUGACAUUCAGAAAAGUAUAGCAAACGAACUACACGGUCUUUGAGCUAUGCUUAGUAUUGGGUCUUGUCCAUCACAUCAUUCUCCUAAUGAUGUGAUCCCGUUAUCAAUGACAUCUAAUGUCCAUAGUCAGGAAACCAUGACUAUCUUUUGAUCAACGAGCUAGUCAACUAGAGGCUUACUAGGGACGUGUUGUGGUCUAUGUAUUCACACAUGUAUUACGAUUUCCGGAUAACACAAUUAUAGCAUGAACAAUAGACAAUUAUCAUGAACAAGGAAAUAUAAUAAUAACUAUUUUAUUAUUACCUCUAGGGCAUAUUUCUAACAGUUAGUUGAACUAAUAUCGGUUGCUAAAGUUUAUCUCAGGUUGUUGGUUCUAAGCGCCCGCGAUGGAGAUGUGCGACCCCCCAUUUCAAAAAGGACAAAGGCGUGGUCUUUCGACGCUUCGAGGGUUUAUUUUUGGUUUGCUUCAAGUCGUAGGAAAGACCGCACUAUUAAGAGGGGUCUGUGUGGACAAAUGUUGUGUGGGAAUGCCUUUGCCGAGCCUUACUCUCUUACCCUUCCCACUCCAACCACCUCAUAUGUUUCUAGUGUGUGUGCUGUGGUACUCAGAAAGUUGCAACAGUAAGUUACUGGGUACCCCGUGCGCACGGGGUCUUUUGACCCCUGUGCGCACGGGGUACUGGGUAACUCUCUGGGUACCCCGUGCGCACAGGGUCUUUUGACCCCCGUGCGCACGGGGUAUUGUGUAACUCUCUGGGUACCCCGUGCGCACGGGGUCUUUUGACCCUCGUGCGCACGGGGUGGUGCGUUUGUCUCUGGACACCCCGUGCGCACGGGGCUGACUUAGCCCAUGAGCACGGGGUCCAACGGGUAGAAAUGCCCACCCUCACAUAAACACUAUAAAUAGGCCCUUCUUCCUCCUCCAACCUCUAACCCUAAUGUCUUGUUGAGCUCCACCAUUGCUACACCCCAUUUUGCUCAAUACUCUCAAUCCCUCCACCCAAACUUGUUGAAACUUUGGGGAUUGGGAGAGCAAGAACCGAUCUACAACUUGACCAGACCAAAUCGUGUUCCCCCCAACAUUUCUUCCCCAUUGACUUGUUACUCUUGGAGCUUGGGCUCCUAGGCGGUUAGAGGUUCCUCUGGAAGCUUCCUUGCUUGUGGUGUGCACCGGAGAAGUUGUAAAGGUGUGGUGGUCGCCUUCAAGACCAACAUCGAGUGGUUCGAGGCUCAUCCGUUGGGGGUGACUCGAAGGAGAAUACGGUGAGCCUUUGGUGGCAUUCUGCAAGCUUUGGCUCCGGCACCGCUCCAAACGGAGAUUAGCUCUUCCCCAAGGAAGAGUGAACUUUGGGUUAAAAUCCGCGUCCUCGUCUCACUUGUGGUUAAUCCUUUCCGGCACCUUUCUUAGUUGUUGUAUGCUUGUUGGCUUGCUAAGUAGUUUGUUGCCUAGCCUUUCUUCUUGGAGCUUGCUUGUCAUAUAGGUUGCAUUCACCUAGUUGCAUAUAUAGUGAACUCUUUUAUCCGCUAAGCCUUAAAAUCUACAAGAAAGAUUAAAAUUUGUAAUCUCCUAUUCACCCCCCUCUAGUCGACUGUAUUGAUCCUUUCAAUUGGUAUCAGAGCCUCGUGCUCUAAUAUAAGGUUUUACAACCUUAGAGGAUAUGGUUGAUCUAGGGAAUGAGGGAGGUGGCCUACCCGUUGCGGGGGAUGGUCAAAACCAACCCCCCGCCGCGACUGAGACACUUGAUGCUCCGGUCGUUGCUCCUGCCGCUACUACUAACCCGAAUGUCCCCUUGACCGCGGCCGAUCUUCUUUCAAUGUUUGCGGACCUCAAAGUCUCUAUGUUGAAAGAGGUUCGUGCCUCGGUCAAGGAGGAAAUUGAUGCUCGCCUAAAGCCAUCAACGUCCGCAUCAAACUAGUUUAACCCAAAUGAGGUUCAUGAUGCGGAUGACUCGAGGGAACCUCUUGCUUCCCCGGCUCGUACUCAAGUUCCCCAGUACAAUGCCGUGGAAUCUUUUUACUCUCCUCAACCCUUGCAACAUCCCCGCAUUAAUCCUGUUGGGCCUCCGUCUCCUUUGAAAGCUAAUGAGUUUGCUAAGUGGAAGCUAGAUAUGGAGUCUCACAUGCGCAGUGCUUCAACUCAAUUGUGGUGGAUUGUGGUCAAUGGAUUCAACCCCAAGGACCCAAUGAAUCUCACUCCAAGGGAAGCAAUUGACGAUCAACUCAAUGCUACCGCACACAACAUGCUUCGCAAUGCAGUGACUGAAGACUAUAGUGAUUCCAUUGCUCUUCUCAAAAGCGCAAAGGAAAUUUGGGAUUGCCUUGAGGAGGCUCUUGAAGGAGAUGAAGCAAUUUGAAGAUCUUGGUUGGCCUUGCUCAAACAAGAAGUCAAUCUCUUUGUGAGGAAUGAGGGUGAAUCCGCUGAAGAGGUUUACCGAAGGUUGAAGUCCCUUGUGCUCAACUUGAGAACCUUUGGGUGCACUUGGGCAAAUGAUGAAUUGAUCAAGGACAAGUUCAUAGAUGCUAUGGUUCUCACAGAACAUACCAUGGUCAUGAUGGUUCAUCAACGUCCGGACUAUCACAAGUUGACUUCGGCUCAAGUUGUUUCCACUUUCUCUACCCAUGUUCUUUUGGAGACCAAGUCCAAGAAAACAUUUGCAAUAGCUCAAGCAACCAAGAACUCCAAUCUUGCCUUGAAGGCCAAGAAAGUGAUGAGCCAACCCUCAAGGGAGGAAGAAGUUAGUGAAGAGAUAUGUGAGGAGGAUAAUGAUACCUCGUGCCCAGCAAAUGAUUUUGCAGAAGACUUGGCUCUCUUAGUCAAGAAGUACUCUGGGACCAUGGCAAACAAAGGAAUAAAUCUUCAAGGAAGAUCUUUUGGACGAAGGAAAUGCUACAAUUGUGAUAGCCCAAGACACUUUGUUCAUGAUUGUCCUUAUGAGAGACGUGAAGACAAGUCCAAGAAGCUUGUGCUUAAGAAGAAGAAGUUCACCAAGUUUGCAAAGAGGAAGGACGACAAGGCUCUUGUUCAUGAAGAAUACAUGUCUGGAGAUGAAGAUGACGGUGAUGAUGAUCAAGUGGGCACGGCCGCCUUCGCCAUGCAUGCCACUACCUCCACCUCCACCACCAGCCUCUUCGACUCUCCAAACGAGGACAAGCCAUUCACUCAUCGAUGCCUCAUGGCCAAAGAGGUAAAAACAAAGUCCAAACCCAAGAGACCCGACAACUACACUCCCAAUGUCUCAUGUGAGAUAGUGGAGGAUGAGUGUGAUGAGGGUGUGGAUAAUGAUGAGGAAUCCUUAAUGGCUUUCAUGAAAACUCUUCAUGGUGAAGCUCGUGCUCGUUUUGGUGUUCUCCUUAAGUCACUCGCCGAACGCGGUGACUUUAUUGAGAAUGUUGAGAACCUCCUUAUAGAGGAAAAAGAGAGAGUUGAUCUCCUCGAGCACGAACUUAAUGAAGAGAGUGUCAUGAGAGCAUCACUUGAGGAAUCCUUAUAUGCUCAUCAAAUUGACUUUGUUAAAACCAACGAUGCUUUGCAACUUGCUCUUGAGAAUAAAGAUGCUCUUAACGUUAGAGUUGAAAAACUUCUAGUUGACCAUACAAGACUUGUUGAGGAGCAUGAGUUCCUUGUGAUUAGUUCCAAGGUUGUCAAAGGUGACCUCAUUGCUCUCAUCGAGUCUUAUGCUCAAUUAAAAGCUACAACCAUUAAGGCGCUCACUUCCGUACCUCAUAUUGAUUUAAAUGAUGAUGCUUGUACGGCUAACUUUGCUCAUGAUUGCACCUCCCUUCAAGAGGAAAAUAAGAAGUUGAAAGCUCAAAUUGAGAAAGGGCUUGUAUCAUGCAUCCAAGGGGAGAAAAACCUAAACGAUCUCUUGAGCAACCAAAAGGAGUGUGUUGCCAAGGAGGGAGUUGGGUUUAAUCCCGCAUCUAAGAGUGGUAAGAACAACAAGAAGAAGAACAACAAGAAGACCGGUCCGACUCCUUCCCCUCCCCAAAAGGUAGUGUUUGUGCAAGAAUGGCACAAUGAGAAGGAGAAGGAAAUGAAGGGUGUUGGGAAUGGUAAGGUCAUUAGGGACAAGGCUAUUCCCAAGAAUUUUGCCGGCAAGAACAAUCCAUCAUAUGUUCUCAUGAGAGGAGAUGAUGGCUAUACCUUUGCAAAAUUUGUUGGAACUAACUAUGAUGAUUAUGCUUGGACUAUUUGGGUUCCCAAGACCCUUGUUGCUAACUCACCAGGACCCAUUGCAAAAUGGGUACCUAUAACCAAAGCUUGAUUAUUGUAGGACUAUGUCUCCGGUGGAACUCAAUGGGUGAUCGACAGUGGAUGCACCAAUCAUAUUACCGGAGAAAGGGAGAUGCUUGUGGAGUUCGUUGAUUCACUCAAGGCCUCUUCGAACAUCUCCUUCAGUGACAAUAGUAAGGGAAAGGUAUUGGGUUUGGGCAAGGUGGUAAUCUCUGAUGAUUCAUCUCUUUCAAAUGUCAUGCUUGUCCAAUCCCUUCACUACAAUUUAUUUUCAACUAUUCAAUUGGCUCGUGCCGGAUAUGAUUCACAUUUUGGUGAAUUCCAUGUGACCGUCUUUAAGAGGAGCAAUCUCAAAGUGGUCUUUGUUGGGCAUGUUGAAGACAACCUUUACGUGGUUGAUUUCUCGAAAGAGAAAACUCAUCUUGCAACAUGCCUAAUGGCCAAGGCCGACGUGGGGUGGCUUUGGCACUGUAGGCUAGCCCACGUGGGCAUGAGAAAUUUACAAGCUCUCUUAAAGGGGGAGCACAUUCUUGGACUAACCAAUGUGUCUUUUGCCAAAGAUCGUCCUUGUAGUGCUUGCAUUGCCGGAAAGCUUCAUGAAAAAGCUCAUAAAGUGAAGACUAUCAUCACCACCUUGAGGCCCCUCGAGCUUAUCCAUUUGGAUCUAUUUGGGCCUCCAACAUAUGAUAGUUUGGGAGGAAGGAGAUAUUGCCUUGUCAUUGUUGAUGACUUCACAAGAUAUACUUGGGUGUUCUUUCUCAAGACUAAAGAUGAAACUCAAGAAACCUUCAUCAACUUUGCCAAAGAAGCUCAACGUCAACAUAACUGUGAGAUCAAGGCAAUCCGAAGUGACAAUGGCACCGAGUUCAAAAACUAUACAAUGGAUGAAUUCUUGAGUGAAGAGGGGAUAAAGCACCAAUAUGCCGCACCUUAUACUCCCCAACAAAAUGGUGUUGCGGAGAGGAAGAAUCGGACUCUUAUUGAGAUGGCUAGGACCAUGCUUGAUGAGUACAAAUCACCAUACAAGCUUUGGGCAGAAGCCACCAACACUGCGUGCCAUGCCUCAAACCAGCUUUAUCUUCGCAAGCUCAAGAACAAGACCCCUUAUGAGCUCCUAAUUGGGAGAAAGCCCAACGUCAAAUACUUUCGGGUAUUCAGUUGUAAGUGUUUCAUUUUAAACAAAAAAUCCCGGUUAGCUAAAUUUGAGUCUAGAACUUAUGAGGGCAUAUUUGUUGGAUAUGCAUCAAACUCUCAUGCUUACCGAGUUCUCAAUAAAUCCACCGGAUGCAUUGAGGAAACGGUAAAUGUGGAGUUUGAUGAAGAUAACGGCUCCCGCAUGGAGCAAAUUGUUCCUAGUGUUGUAGGUGAUGAGGCUCCUUCACAAGCUAUAAGGACAAUGGGGACAGGCCACAUCUCCCACAAGAAACACCCCAUGUCCAAGUAGAAGAAGAAGGAGUAAGAGCCCCUCUUAAGGAUUUUCCACAAGGGAAGUCAUCACCGACACCACUUGUACAAGAUGCCUUGGGAAGUAAUCAACCUAUCCAAGAACAAGAUCAAAACCCUCAUAUUCCUGAGCAAGAUCAAGAGCAAACUCUUCCGAACAAUGAAGAACCAAUCGUUGAGGCUCAAGAUCAAGCUCAAAGUCAUGAUCAAGAUCUAGAUCAACCCCAACCACAAGUGUCUUCAUCGUCAUCACUUCCUACUGAGCAAGAACCUGUGGUUGCAAAGAGAAGAGUGUCUCCAAGGCUAAAGCAAUCUCAAGGGCAAGCUUCUUCAUCAAGUCCAAAACCAAGUGAAGAAGAGCUUGACUACAAAGAGCAAAAAGUAUCCACCAAGCUAAAACAUCUUCAACACCUCACUGAGAAUAUCUAUGGAAGCAUCAAAAAGGGGGUAACUACUCGUAGACGUUUGGCAAACUUUUGUGAACAUCACUCGUUUGUCUCUUGUGUUGAACCCCUUAAGGUGGAAGAUGCCCUUGACAAUCCGGAUUGGAUAGAUGCCAUGCAUGAAGAACUCAACAACUUCACACGCAACAAAGUGUGGACCCUUGUAGAAAGACCCAAGGAGUUUCAUAAUGUCAUUGGAACAAAGUGGAUUUUCAAGAACAAACAAGAUGAAUAUGGACAAGUAAUAAGGAACAAGGCAAGGUUAGUGGCACAAGGUUUCACCCAAGUUGAAGGUUUGGACUUUGGUGAAACUUUUGCCCCCGUUGCCUGUCUCGAAUCCAUUCGCAUCUUACUUGAUUAUGCCUCUCAUCAUGAUUUAAAAUUAUAUCAAAUGGAUGUUAAGAGUGCAUUCCUUAAUGGUCCUCUUAAGGAGUUGGUGUAUGUCAAGCAACCUCCCGGUUUUGAAGACCCCGAUCAUCCCUCUCACAUUUAUGAACUCCAUAAGGCACUCUAUGGACUCAAACAAACACCUCGUGCUUGGUAUGAUCACCUUACGACGUUCCUAAGCGAGAAGGGGUUCCAGAUUGGGUAAUAGAUUCCACUCUCUUUACGAAGAGGGUAAGAGGAGAGUUGUUUGUCUGCCAAAUAUAUGUUGAUGAUAUUAUCUUUGGGUCAACUAACCAUGCUAUUAACGUUGAGUUUGAGAAUCUUAUGACUAAGGAAUUUGCGAUGAGCAUGAUGGGAGAGUUGAAGUUCUUUCUCGGUUUUCAAGUGAAGCAAUUGAGAGGCGGAACCUUCAUCAAUCAAUCUCGUUAUAUCCAAGACAUGCUCAAGAGAUUCAAAAUGCAAGAUGUCAAGCCAAUGAAGACACCCAUGGCCACAAAUGGUCAACUUCAUCUUGAUCCAAAUGGUAAAAAAGUGGAUCAAAAGGUAUAUCGCUCCAUGAUCGGUUCCUUGCUUUACCUUUGUGCAUCUAGGCCAGAUAUUAUGUUGAGUGUGUGUAUGUGUGCAAGAUUUCAAUCCGCUCCUAAGGAGAGCCAUUAUUCGGCAGUGAAAGGAUCCUUCGAUAUUUGGUUCAUACCCCAAACUUGGGCCUUUGGUAUCCCAAGGGAUCAUCAUUUGAGUUAAUGGGUUACUCGGAUUCGGAUUGGGCCGGAGACAAGGUUGAUCGCAAGUCUACAUCCGGCUCAUGUCAAUUCCUAGGGAGAUCGUUGGUAAGUUGGUCUUCAAAGAAGCAAAAUUGUAUACCUCUCUCCACAGCCGAAGCCGAGUAUAUUGCUGUCGUAAGUUGUUGUGCCCAAUUACUAUGGAUGAGGCAAACUUUGAUGGAUUACACUGUCAAAUGUGACAAAGUGCCUCUUUGGUGUGACAAUGAAAGUGCCAUCAAGAUCGCCGAGAAUCCGGUUCAACAUAGCAAGACCAAGCAUAUUGAGAUUCGUCAUCAUUUCAUUAGAGAUCAUGUGGCCAAGGGAAACAUUGAGUUACUCCAUGUCAACACCGAGAAUCAACUAGCAGACAUUUUCACCAAGCCCCUUGACGAAGCAAGAUUCUGCGAGUUAAGGCAUGAGCUAAAUAUCGUGGAUAUUAGUAACUUCGGAUGAAACUCUUGCUCGCACACACAUACUCAUGUACUAUCUUGCUUAGAUGUAGGCACAUGUCUAGGGGGAGCUAGCUCAACUCAUGAGCUAUCUUAUCCUAGAAGUGCAUAAAACAAACACAAUCUUUCACAUAAGCCACUUUAGGUGGUACUUGUGCUUCAAAGAUGAGUAUUGGUCUUGGGCCCAAGGUUCAUAUCUUCGCGGUGCCAUACCAAGUAAACUCAAACAUGGUGGCCCUGGCCAUCGCCCUCGCUUGAGGGUUUUGUCCGUGUUUGUUUCGUGUGUGUGUGAUGUGGUGUUUCUUUUCUUUUUUCUUAGUUGGUUCUCCUCGCUUCGUUUUGGUACAAGUGCUCCACAUAUACCCUUUCCAUAGUGAUAGGACUUUCCUCGCUGCGUGUUCAGAAACGUAGACCGAGUGCCCUGUGAAGUAGGGGUAAGAGUAUUCACUCAGCCCUACAUUUAAAAGAUCCACUCAUGUCAGGUUCCUGAAUA
RNAcentral lists this long non-coding RNA (45379 nucleotides) under Triticum aestivum (bread wheat). Its description in RNAcentral is "long non-coding RNA (TAES_LNC014773)". The record is from RNAcentral. Lineage: Eukaryota; Viridiplantae; Streptophyta; Magnoliopsida; Poales; Poaceae.